RNAcentral lists this long non-coding RNA (47431 nucleotides) under Homo sapiens (human). Its description in RNAcentral is "non-protein coding lnc-TACR1-1:4". The record is from RNAcentral. Lineage: Eukaryota; Metazoa; Chordata; Mammalia; Primates; Hominidae.
AGAAUGAAGAUGGCUUCCUGUCCCGCUAGCGUCACGUCGGGAUCUGCCUUCACCAAGGCCUUCACUCGCGCCAGAGGCAACCUCGAGAGACGAGCCCCAGGCACACUCGUUGGGGCCUGGGGCUGCGAGGCCGCUGCCUCCCCAGCAGGUCCCUCCUCCUCUCGGGGCGUCCCGCUUCCUGCCGCCGCCGCCGCCGCCAUCCCGGCCUUGAGCGUGCUGCGCGCGGCCGCCGACUGUGCGCGCGCAUGCGGCGCAGGCCCUUUCCCGCGCGGGCUGGAGGCCACACCCUGUGUAGGCGCGCGGCUCCGCCCCUACGCGGCAGUGCGCUGCCAGGAAACCGGGUGGGCGGGGGUCGGGCUCCGGCUCUUCCCACGCGCCUAGCCACCCGUGGGCUGUCGUGCACUUGGUUGACGCUACCGGCGACCCUCUGGCCCCGACGGGCCUGUGGAGCCCAGGCACCUCCCAUUGGUGCCUGUGCCUGGCUGGUGAGGGGAGAAAUCUAGACCAGGCUCGCAAGAGAGUCUCCGUCAAAACAGAGUGUGCAUAUUCCAAGGCUAACGAGGGCACGUGUCCGAGGGAGGCCCGGCCCUGGAGGGCCCAGCAUCGUGGAAGAGGGUGCCAAGGAGGCAGCGAAAUCUGGACCAAAUUCAAGGAUAACCAGUUAUAGAUGCUCUUGAAGGAGGGGUAGGGCUUUUGGCAGGCAGAAAUGAAGAAAUUCAGCCCAGCCAGAGGAAACAAGAAAAAGUCAUGGAGGCUAGAAAAGAUGAAAUUGUGGUGGUGAGGCAUCCACGUUUGUUCAAAAAGAGGUUGCAUCACAGCUUUGGUUCUCAAAUUUGACCUCAAGAUCCCUUUACGGUCUUAAAGAUUGUUAAAGAGCCCAGGGAGCUUUUGUUUCUGUCAGUUAUAUCAAUACUUACUAUAUUAGAAUUAAAGUUUUAAAAUAUUGAUUUAAAAUUACUAAUGCGUUACCAGCUAACAAACAACAUUUUUAUGACAAGUAAUUUUUUUUAAAUCUAGUAAGAAAAGUCUCUAAUGUCUGAUUUCAUGUGAGAACUGGAUUCUCUAGCUGCUUCUGUUGCUAACGUUAGCACUUCUCAGGUAGCUCUUAAAAAACUACUACAUCUUGAGAGAAUGUGAAUGAAAAAGGCAACCUCAUAGUAGUAUUAAGAAAAUAAUUUUGGCCUCAUGGACUCCUGAAAAGGGUCUCCAGAAAAUUCCCACCCCCAUGAAUCCCCACACCACACUUGGAGGUCUGAUAGCGUAGAGGAACAGUUAAUAUUUAAAAUAGGUUUAAUCUAAGUCAAUCAUAAUAAUAGUGAACACCUUUAAACAUUUACUAUGUGCAUGAUUCAAAGUGUUUUAGAUUUAUGUAAAUCAUAACUUCUGUAAUUUUCACAAUACCCUAUUGAGGUAAAUAUUAUAACCUUCUUUUUCAAACCUUAUUUGAAAAAAUUGAGGUGCAGAGUGGUUACUGAGUCGCAUACACAGGGCAGAAUGUGGUGAAGCCAAGAUGAAGCUGAAUUAAACACAUCUGAAAUCACUCAGUUCCAAAAUUAUGUAGUAAACUCUGACUGGUGUAGGAGUGGAAAGGUGUGAAACCUUUCUUUACCCAUUUUAAGGGUCACAGCUGACACUCCUAUAACACACACAAAAAGCCUAACAAGUCUAAUCAAAGUUUUACAUGACAUGAGAGUCCAAAAAUGCAGACCAUGAGACCUAGAGGAAACUAUUUUUAUGCUUAGGUUAUAUGAAGAAGGGAUCGCUGUGUAGAAAUGUGAUUAGAGGCCUGGUACGGUGGGUCACACUUGUAAUCCCAACACUUUGGGAAGCCAAGGCAGGAGGACCGCCUGAGCCCAGGAGUUUGAGACCAGCCUGGGCAACAGAUGGAGACCCCAUUUCUACACACACACACACACACACACACACACACACACACACACACACAAAUUAGCUGGGUAUUGUGAUCCUAUAGUCCUAGCUACUUGGGAGGCUGAGGUGGGAGAGUUGCUUGAGCCCAGGAGUUCAAGGUUACAGUGAGCAAUGAUUGCACCACUGCACUCCAGCCUGGGCGACAGAGAGAGACCCUGUGUCUUAAAAAGAAAAAGAAAUGGGAUUGGACAAAAAGGGAAUGAUAAUAGUCUAAUGGUAAUAGACUGAAUGGGGAAACCCAGCAAGGCCUGUCUGUUCAUAUUCUUCUUGGCCUCCCUGUGUAGCAUUCCUUCUGGUAUUAGGGCAGGACCCUUCUGGAAUGAGGGUCUUCAAGGGAGAAGGCAGAAAAUAACCUUUCUAGGUUUUACGACUUGCUUGGAGGAAGGAGAAUUCUAGUUUCUAUGACCUGCGUUGGGAAAGAGGAAUUCUGGUUUCCAUGACUCACUGCGAAGAGUGGUGAUGUUACAGUGGGUAGCUAGUCAGACACGAACAGGGCAGGAUAGGGCCCCCACGCUCCACCAGGAAUGUCAGAAGAUCAUCAGGUGAUGGUCAGACAGUGGUCACACCGCCUCUCUAAAAUAAUAAUUGCUCAUAGCCAGCGCCAGGGAAAGGCAGUUUCCCUAUAGAUAGAAAAACCCUGAAACUGAUGAUCAGGAGCUUCCUGAUGAGAUCUCAGGAGUUGGGCGAGCGGGCUCACGCAUGCACACUAAGAGGCAAAAUGGUGGAAUUUAACUGAUAUAUGACCUUCUGGGGGCAUUCUACUGAAAAAGGGAAGAACGCCUCAGGUGAGCAUGCUUACAACUUCAAUAAAUACACUGCACUUGCUCCCCUCCCCAGCGCUAGCAGGCUACUGUGCAUUUCGACAACCCACCCCAAGGGAAGAAUCAGGGUAGAAGGGAUGCAAGACCCCAGAAGUAUGCCAACACAUAAAAACCCAAGUCAAAAGGUCAAACCUUGCACUUGUCCUUCAAGUCACCCACUUGGGCCUCUUCUCAGUGUACUUUCCUUCCUUUCGUUCUUGCUCUAAAGCUUUUUAAGAAAUUUUCACUCCUGCUUUAAAACUUGCCUCAGUCUCUUCUUUUGCCUUAUGCCCCUCAGUCGACAUCUUCUGAGGAGACAAGAAUCGAGGUUGCUGCAAUUUGCUGCCAGUAACUGUAAUAACUUCUACUGCUUACAGUGGAAAACAGGACAGGAGAAGUUCAGAAAGACCUUGCUUCUGAGGCCUUUCCAAUUUUCUUCAGUUCAAAGUACUCAGCAUUCCAAAGUACCAUACUUUGGGGUAUCAUGUAAUGAGCCCCAACCCUGAAUUAGCACAGAGACACUCCACUAUAGCAGAAUAAGAGUCUUGGCCCAGAAUUAAAAUCUGCAGAAGAGGAUAUGAGUUGCUGAAAAUUGAACCAGAGCAGCCAUUAGGGCCUCAGUCCUGGGUUCUUUUCAGAUUACAUUUAUGGACACUCUCACUCAUGGAAAGCUCCACACAAAAUUCAUAAAAGCAUGACCAGAUUCUUGUGUCACAGUGCACAAGAACACCUCACAAGAGCUAUACUCCAGCAAUCGCAAAGUAGCUAAGUACUAAAUUGACCUAAAUUCUGAAUUAACAUAAGACAGUUGACAAUGGUGGGGGUGUUACUGGACCCCACCACUUACCCAAAGUUAGCCUUUGGGUCAGGGGUUUCCUUGCUAGAGUCCUUUCGUGGUCACCAGAAAAAUGUUACAGGAAAGGGGUUCUGAUCCAGACCCCAAGCGAGAGUUCUUGAAUCUCACACAAGAAAGAAUUCAGGGCAAGUCCAUAAAGUAAAGUGAAAGCAAGUUUAUUAGGAAAGUAAAGGAAUAAAAGAAUGGUUGCUCCAUUGGCUGGGCAGCCCUGAGGGCUGCUGGUUGCCCAUUUUUGUGGUUAUUUCUUGAUUAUCUGCUAAACAAGGGGUGGAUUAUUCAUGUCUCCCCUUUUAAGACCAUAUAGGAUAACUUCCUGAUGUUGCCCUGGCAUUUGUAAACUGUCAUGGUGCUUGUGGGAGUGUAGCAGUGAGGACGACCAGAGGUCACUCUCCUGGCCAUCUUGGUUUUGGUGGUAAGUUUUAGCUGGCUUCUUUACUGCAAACUGUUUUAUCAGCAAGGUCUUUAUGACCUGUAUUUCGUGCCAACCUCCUAUCUCAUCCGCUGACUUAGAAUGCCCUAACCAUCUUGGAAUGCAGCCCAGUAGGUCUCAGCCUCAUUUUGCCCAGCUCCUAUUCAAGAUGGAGUUGCUCUGGUUCACACACCUUUAACGGGCAGGAGGAGUUAAGAGUUCUUGAAAGGGCUGAGUCAACUUGGCUUUCAGAGGAUUCUCAUUUCAACCCCCUUUUCUUCCCAAUUUUGUCUCAUUCAUAUGUUCCCUGCCUUUCCUCCUUUUCUCCUUUUUUGUUCCCCUUCGUGUUCUUUUUUUUUUCUUUUCUUUUCUUUUCCUCAUCACUUGAAUGUCUCACCACUUGGUGCAGUCCUUCUCUCCCUGGUUUGACUAUGACUAACCAAGAGUUUAUGGAGACCAGACAGGACUUCCUGACUAUAAGUAUUGAACAGCACUAAGGUGUGUUAGAAAGGGAAAUCACGUUUCACAGUUUUUGAGUUUCAGUGGAAAAAAGGCAGAAGAAACAGGAAGACGAAGGUUGAAAAGCUCAAAAAGCCACACACGCACACACGGUUCGCAUUCCAGUCCAAAUAGAAUGAAGGCUAAAAAUAUCUUUAAAAGGCUACGUGAUGAAAAUUAAUGCAAAAAAAACAUGAUGUGUGUUAAGUGAAGUUUGGCCUAAAGCUGUCUCUUUACAUAGUUUAAGUUUGGCCUAAAGGUUUCUUCAUAUGUAGAGAAAUGCAAGGUAACUUGAUGUGAAAACGGUCACUUACUCUUGUAAGAAAUAGCCAAGUUUCAGCCAAUUACAGGCAGCCAGCUGCUCAAACCAGGUUCAAACCAGGUUCAAAUAAGGCAAACAUCAAGCUGUAACCGUUCCAGCUAUUUCUGUACCUCACUUCCAUUUUCUGGACAUCAUUUUCCUUGUUAUCCUACCAUGCGGCAGGCCUAAAAUCACACUGAAUCUAUUCUGGUUCUGGGGGCUGCCUGAUUCGAGAAUCAUUUUUUGCUCAGUUAAACUCUGUAAAAUUUAACUUGUCUAAAGUUUUCUUUUAACUUGUGAAGUAUUUUAUCUAAUAAGCUAAAGAUUAAAGACAGCUUGCCAUCUACCAUACUGGAGUAAGUGUCCUAUCCAGGAGAUAAGUUAGUGGAGGAACCAGUAUCACUUCAUUUCUGAAUUUUUUUAAAAAAAAAUCAUAUAUGUGUUGUAUGUACACGUGUGUAUUGUUAAAAGAUAAACCUAGGCACAUUAAAAUUUUAAAGAGUUGAUUUGAGCAGAUAGUGAUUCAUGAAUCGGGUAGUGCCAAACCACAGCUGGGUCUGGGCUCCACUGAGGCAGGGGGAGGGGAGAUGCUUUAUAAAGUAUUUGAGGAACAAGACAAAGAAAAUAUUUGAUUGGUUAAAGUAGAGCAGUAGCCAUAAAGUUCCUAGUUAGAGGUGAGUUGGCAGUGAUAACAGAAUGGCUGGGCUCUCAGUUAAACCCCACCAUUAAGCCUGGAACUACAGCCCUAAGUGAAAACAGCUGACCCAUUUUUCUACCUGAAUGUUGCCUUUUUGGCCUGCCACACCCCUAUCCUGUGCCCAUAAAAAAACUUUAACUGGCAGAGCAAUACAAGCAGCUGAGCGUCAGAGAUACAAGCAGCUGAGCGUCAGGGACACAAGAAGCUGGGCAUUGAGGAUACAAGCAGCUGAGCAUCAGGGAUACAAAUGGCUGAGCAGAGAAGCAACUGAGCAUCUAAGACUACAGACAGAUGUGGCUAACUUCAGACAGUGCAGCUUCAGGCAAAGAUCUUCUUCUCGCACCAUCCCCUUUCCAACUCCCCAUUCUGCUGACAGCCACUUCCACUUCCAUCACACAAUAAAAUCCUCUGCAUACGCCAACCUUCAAUUCAUUCGUGUGACGAUUCUUCCUAGACACUGGACAAGAACCCAAAUGCCAAGAGGACAAGGGCUGGGACACUCCUACAGGGCCCUGCACAGAGCCGGCUCCCGCCAGAGAGGAGCAACCGGCCAGUUCCAGCAUUAGUUCACUUUGGUUCCUGCACUCUUCUUGCUCACAUGCUCCCUCUCAUGAGGAGUGGCCAGUGGCAGGCUGAAUGAAAUGUGCUACUCCAGUUCCCUCCCACAAGGUCAAGGAAAAAAUUCCAGCUCAACAGUUUCUGACUGGUUAAGCUUAAGCUUUGUUUUCCUGCAAUAUGGCUGUUCACACUGAGUUAGGUUUCAGUUUGGCCGUAUAGAAACCCGAGACAGUGGAGCCAUCUCAGCCUAAUGGCCUCCCAAUUAUUUAUUUUAACAGGGCAUCAUUUUAUCUAUAUUUGUGCAUGAAUAUAUAUGUGUACAUAAAUGUAUACAUAUACAGACACAUAUUUGGAAGGUUAAUGAUUAAAUACAUCAUAGGGAAAAUAGAGGGCAUACUAGGGUAACAAAAAAGAAAAAAAAAAUCACCAGACUCUUUAAAAGGAAAAAAUAAAGAGACAAAAAUAAAGUAUCAUAAGUUUGUCCAUGGAAAUCCUGGGAUGCAGGAAUUACUUAAGCACUUAAAAACUAAUUACAAGGGGAAAGCAUGUUUAGAAAAAGAAAAGAGAAAAACAAAAGAUACAAAGGAAAAUGUUACUCUUAAUCAAUUCAGUGUUUAAAUGAAUUGUUUAGGCAGCAGUUCUCAAACUUUCUCAACUUUUUUUUUCAGGUUUAUUAUAUAGGUAAAUUGCAUGUCAUGGGGAUUUGGUGUACAGAUUAUUUCAUCACCCAGGUAAUAAGCAUAGUACCCAAUAGGUAGUUUUUUGAUCCUCAUGCUCCUCCCACCCUCCACCCUCAAGCAGGCCCAAGUAUCUAUUGUUCCCUUCUUUGUGUCCACAUAUAUUCAAUGUUUAGCUCCCACUUAUAAGUGAGAAUAUGCAGUAUUUGGUUUUCUGUUCCUAUGUUAGUUCAUUUAGGAUAAUGGCCUCCAGCUCCAUCCACGUUAUUACAAAAGAUAUGAUCUUGGUCUUUUUAUGGCUGUGUUAGUAUUCCGUGGUGCAUAUGUAUCACAUUUUUUUUAACCCAGUCCACCUUUGAUGGACAUCUGGGUUGAUUCCACGUCUUUGCUAUUGUGUGAAUAGUGCAUGCAUGUGUCUUUAUGAUGGAACAAUUUGGAUUCCUUUGGGUGUAUAUCCAAUAAUGGGAUGGCUGGGUAGAAUUGUAAUUCUGUUUAAAGUCCUUUGAGAAAUCACUACACUGCUUUCCACAUGGCUGAACUAAUUUGCAUUCCCACCAGCAGUAUAUCAAUGUUCCUUUUUCUCUGCAACCCUAUGAACAUCUGUUAUUUUUUAACUUUUUAAUAAUAGCCUUUAUGAGUGGUAUGAGAUCGUAUCUCCUUGUAGUUUGAUUUGCAUUUCAUUAAUGAUUAGUGAUGUUGGACAUUUUUUCACAUGCUUGUUGGCUGUGUGUAUGUUUCUUUUGAAAAGUGUCUGUUCAUGUUCUUUGCCCACUUUUUAAUAAGGUUGGGUAGUUUUUGGUUUAAGUUCCUUAUAGAUUCUGGAUAUUAGACCUUUGUCAGAUGCAUAGUUUGCAAAUAUUUUCUCCCAUUCUUUAGGUUGUCUGUUUGGUUUGUUGAUAGUUUCUUUCUUUUUCUCUCUCUUCUUUUUUUUUUUGUUUUUUUGUUUUUUUGUUUUUUUGAGAUAAGAGACUUGCUCUGUCACCCAGGCUGGAGUGCUAUGAGCAAUGACAUGAUCUUGACUCACUGCAACCUCUACCUCCUGGGUUCAAGUAAUUCUCAUGCCCCAGCCACCUGAGUAGCUGGGAUUACAGGUGCACGCCACCACACACCGGUUAAUUUUUUUUUUUUUUUAAGUGGAGAUGGGGUUCAGACUGGUCUUGAACUCCUGGCCUCAAGUGAUCCACCUGCCUCGGCCUCCCAAAGUGCUGGGAUUACAACCAUGAGCCACCAUGCCUGGCUGGGAGUUUAUUUUGCUGUGCAGAAGUUCUUUCGUUUAAUUGACCAUUGGUCAAUUUUUGGUUUUGUUGCAACUGCUUUUGGCAUCUUCGUCAUGAAAUCUUUACCUGGUCCUAUGUCCAGAAUGAUAUUCCCUAGGUUGUCUCCCAGAGUUUUUAUAGAUUUAGAUUUUACAUUUUAGUCUUUAAUCAAUCUUGAGUUGAUUUUUGUAUAUGAUUCUGGUACAUUGUCUCUUUCUCAUUGGUUUCAAAGAACUUCUUGAUUUCUGCCUUAAUUUCCUUAUUUACCCAAAGUCCUUCAGGAGCAGGUUGUUCAAUUUCCAUGUAAUUGUGUGGUUUUGAGUGCAUUUCCUUAAUCCUGAGUUCUAAUUUUAUUGCUUUAUGGUCUGAGAGACUGUUUGUUAUGAUUUCAGUUCUUUUGCAUUUGCUGAGGAGUGUUUCACUUCCAAUUAUGUGGUCGAUUUUGGAGUAAGUGUCAUGUGGCACUGAAAGAAUGUAUAUUCUGUUGAUUUGGGGCGGAGAGUUCUGUAGACGUCUACUAGGUCCACUUGGUUCCGAGCUGAGUUCAAGUCCUGAAUAUCCUUCCUAAUUUUCUGUCUCACUGAUCUGUCUAAUACUGACAGUGGGGUGUUAAAGUCUCCCACUAUUAUUGUGUGGGAGUCUAAGUCUCCUUGAAGGUCUCUAAGAACUCGUUUUAUGAAUCUGGGAGCUCCUGUAUCCGGUGUAUAUAUAUUUAGAAUAGUUAGCUCUUCUUGUUGAAUUGUUCCCUUUACCGUUAUGUAAUGCCCUUUUUUGUCUUUUUUAAUCUUUGUUGGUUUAAAGUCUGUUUUGUCUGAGACUAGGAUUGCAACCCUGCUUUUUUGUUUUUUGUUUGUUUGUUUUGUUUUGUUUGCUUUCCAUUUGCUUGGUAAAUUUUCCUCCAUCUUUUUAUUUUGAGCCUAUGUGUGUCUUUGCACAUAAGAUGGGUCUCCUGAAUACAGCACACCAAUGGGUCUUUACUCUUUAUCCAAUUUGCCAGUCUAUGUCUUUUAAUUUGGGCAUUUGCCCCAUUUACAUUUAAGGUUGGUAUUGUUGUGUGUGAAUCUGAUCCUGUCAUCAUGAUGCUAUUUGGUUAUUUUACACACUAGUCGAUGCAGUUUCUUCAUAGUGUCAUUGCUCUUUAUAUUUUGGUGUGUUUUUGCAGUGGCUAGUACUGGUUUUUCCUUAACAUAUUUAGUACUUCUUUCAGGAGCUCUUGCAGGGCAGGCCUGGUGGUAACAAAAUCCCUCAGCAUUUGCUUGUCUGUAAAGGAUUUUAUUUCUCCUUCACUUAUGAAGCUUAGUUUGGCUGGAUAUGAAAUUCUGGGUAGAAAAUUCUUUUCUUUAAGAAUGUUGAAUAUUGGCCCCCAGUCUCUUCUGGCUGAUAGAGUUUCUGCUGACAGGUCCGCUGUUAGUCUGAUGGGCUUCCCUUUGUAGGUGACCUGGCCUUUGUCUCUGGCUGCCCUUAACAGUUUUUCCUUCUUUUUGACCUUGGAGAAUCUGACGAUCAUGUGUCUUGGGGCUGAUCUUCUCAUGGAGUAUCUUAAUGGUGUUCUCUGUAUUUCCUGAAUUUGCACGUUGGCCUAUCUUGCUAGGUUAGGGAAGUUCUCUUGGAUAAUAUCUUGAGGUGUGUUUUCCAGCUCAUUUCCAUUCUCCUCAUCUCCUUCUGGUACUCCAAUCAAUCAAUUGCAGGUUCAGUCUUUUUAGGAAGUCCCUUUCAUUCUUUUUUCUCUAUUCUUGUCUGCAUGCCUUAUUUCUGCAAGGCGGUCUUCAAACUCUGAAAUCCUUUCUUCUGCUUGGUCAGUUUAGCUGUAGAUACUUGUAUAUGCUUCAUGAGGUUCUUGUGCUGUUUUUUUCAGCUCCGUCAGGUCAUUUAUGUUCCUCUCUAAACUGGUUAUUCUAGUUAGCAAUUCCUCUGACCUUUCAGCAAGGCUCUUAGCUUCUUUACAUUGAGUUAGAACAUGCCCCUUGAGCUCAGUGUAGUUUUUUAUUACCCAUCUUCUGAAGCCUACUUCUGUCAAGUCAUCCAUCUGAUGCUCCGUCCAGUUCUGCACCCUUGAUGGAGAGACAUUGCGAUCAUUUGGAGGAGAAGAGACACUCUGGCUUUUUGGGUUUUCAGCAUUUUUGUUGAUUCUUUCUCAUCUUCGUGAAUUUGUCUAGUUUCAGUCUUUGAGCCCACUGACCCUUGGAUGGGGUUUUUGUGGGGGCUUUUUGUUGCUGUUGUUGAUGAUCUUGUUGUUGCUUUCUGCUUGUUUGUUUUUCUUUCAAUAGUCAGGUCUCUCUUCUGUAGGGCUGCUGCAGUUUGCCGAGGGUUCACUUCAGGCCCUAUUCAUCUAAUUCACUCCCGUGUUUGGAGAUGUCAUUUAAGGAGGCUGGAGAACAGCAAAGAUGGGUGCCUCCUCCUUCUUCUGAGACCUCUGACCUCGAGGGGCACCAACCUGAUGCCAGUAGGAUCGCUCCUGUAUAGGGUGUCUGACAACCCCUGUUGGAGGGGCUCCCCCAGUUGGGUGGCACGGGAAACAGAACCCAUUUAAAGAGGCACUUUGUCCAUUGGUGGAGGGAGUGUGCUUCACUCGCGGGAAACCCACUCAUCUAGGCUGCCCGGAUUCCUCAGAACUACCAGGAGGAGAGGAUAAGUCUGCGGGUCCACAGAGACUGCAGCCACCCCUUCCCCUAGGGGUUCAGGCCCAGGGAGAUUCGGAUUCUGUCCCUGAGCCUCUGGCUGGAGUUAUUGGCAUUCCUGCAGGAAACCCCCACCUAAUGGGGAAGGAUGGGUCAGGCAGGGUCAGGCCUGAAGACAUACUCUGGCUGCAAACUACCACAUCCAGUGUGUUGGGCUGUGGGGACAAGUCUUGGGAUCAAGCCAUCCAGCCUCCCUGGCUCCAGCAGGGGAAAGGCGCAGACUGGAGCUAUAGAAAUGGGUUCCACCCUUCCCCCACCCAGGAAGCUUACCAUAUUAGGUAGUUGCCAGUCCCAAUGCUGGCUGCUGCCCCUCCCCCAAGGUGCUCAAACAGUUUAGACAGCAGGCAGCCACAGCCAUGGUGCUGGUCACCCCUCCUCCUGGGAGUUUGGUAGGCUUAAGCUGAUUCCAGCUGAGAGGCUGUAAGAAUCUGCACGUUCUGGGGUUGGAACACUAGGCCCCAGUGGCAUGGGUUCACGAGUGGGAUCUUCCGAUCCAUAGGUUGCACAGUUCCAUGGAAAAAGCAGUUUCCCCGGCUGUGUAGCACUCUCACUCACCGCCACCCCUACCCCAUGUGGUUCUCAGGUGGGCCACCACACUGCACUGUUCUUCCCUCUCUCUGUGGGUCAUGCCAGCCUUCUAGUCAAUUUUGAUGAGAGAACCUGGAUACCUUGGUUGCCAGGGAAACAUUCACAUGCUUAUUAUGGUUUUUUUCAAUGGGAGCCUCGAACACUGCUGUUUCUAGUUGGCCAUCUUGUCCCCACCCCCCAGGGGGAUUACAUUUCAACAUGAGAUUUGGGUAGGGCAAAUAUCUGAACUAUAACAAAAAUCAAUAUGCAAAAAUCAAUUUUAUUUCUAUACAAUGGCAAUGAACGAGCCAAAAAUCACAUUAAUAAAAUAAUUCCACUUAUAAUCACAUCCAAAAAUUGAAAUACACUUAUGGUCAGUUGACUUUCAACAAGGGCACCAAAACAAUUCAAUGGGAAAAGAAGAGUCCUUUCAACAAAUUGUGCUAGGGCAACUUAAUAGCCACAUGCGAAAGAAUAAGGUUGAAUUCACUAUCUCACACCAUACAUAAAAAUUAACUCAAAAUGGAUCAAAAACCUACAAAUAAGGGCAACAAUUAUAAAACUCAGAAGAAAACACGGAGUUAAAUCUUCAUGACUUUGGAUUGGCAAAGAAUUUUUAGAUAUGAGAUCAAAAACAUGAGCAACAAAAGAAAAAAAAACAGAUAAGUUGAACUUCAUAAAAAAAAAUUUUGUUAAUAGAGAUAAGGUCUCAUUAUGUUGCACAAGCUGGUCUUUAACUCCUGGCCUCAAACAAUCCUUCUACCUUGGCCUCCCAAAGUGCUGGGAUUACAGGUGUGAGACACCACACUCAGCCAAACUUCAUCAAAAUAUUUAAAUUAAUUGUGUCAAAGGACACACUAUCAAGAAAGUGGAAAGACAAAGUAUUUGCAAAUCAUACACCUGAUAGCCAGAACUGUACCUAGAAUAUAUAAAGAACUUUUACAACUCAAUAAUAGAAAGACAAAUGACCCAAUUUAAUAAUGAGCAAAGAAUUUGAAUAUACAUUUCUCCAAAGAAGAUAUGCAAAUGGCAAAUAAUCAUAUGAAAAGUUGCACAUCAAUAUUUGUUAGGAAAAUAGAAAUACAAAACAAAAUCACAAUGAAAUACCACUUCCCACUAGGAUGGCAAAUAUCAAAACAGCAAAACAAAUGUGGGCAAGUUGUGGAGAAACUGGAAACUUCAUAUACUGCUGGUCAGAAUGUAAAUGAUGCAGCCACUUUGGAAAACAGUUUGGCAGUUCCUCAAAAAAAUUUAUACAUAUAAUUACCAUAUGACCCAGAAAUUCUACGCAUAGGUACAUAUCCAAAAGAAUUGAAAAUAUAUGUCCACAUAAAAACCUGUACACAAAUGUUCAUAGUAGCAAAGUUCAUGGUAUCCAAAAAGCCAAGACAACCAAAAUAUCCAUUGACUAAUGAAUGGAUAAACAAAAUGUGGUCUAUUCAUACAGUACAAUAUUAUUUGCCCAUAAAAAAGAAUGAAAUGCUGAUACAUGCUGCCAUGUGGCAUGUAUACUAAGUGAAAGAAGUGAGACAAAAAAGGCUACAUAUGGUAUGAUUCCAUUUAUAUGAAGUGUCUAGAUUAGACAAACCCAUUGAGACAGAAAGAUUAGUGGUUGCCAGGGCCUGGGGAGAGGGAGAAAUAGGAAGUGACUGCCGACAAAUAAUGGAAUUUCUUUUUGGAGUAAUGGAAAUAUGCUAGAAUUAGAUAGUGGUGAUGGUUGCACAACCUUGUGAAUGUAUUAAAACCACUGAAUUGUACACUUCAUUUAUUUUGGUGAUUUUUCAUAAACACUAGAUGACCAGGGAGAAUUGUACAAUUUAAAAGGGUAAAUUUGCCAGCACAGUGGCUCAAGCCUGUAAUCCCAACACUUUGGGAGGCCAAUGCGGGUAGAUCGCUUGAGCCCAGGAGUUCAAGAGCAGCCUGGGAAAGAUGGCAAAACCUCAUCUCUAAAAAAAAAAUUUUUUUUAAAUUAGCUGGUGUGGUGGCACAUGCCUGUAGUCCCAGCUACUUGGGAAGCUGAGGUAAGAGGAUCAAUUGAGCCCGGGAGGUCAGAGCUGCAGUGAGUCAUUAUCAUACCACUGCAGUCCAGCCUGGACAACAGAAUGAGACCCUAUGUCCAAAAAAAAAAAAAAAAAAGGGUGGGGGUAAGUUUUACGGUAUGAAAAAGCCUAUUUUUAAUAGAAGUAUUGCUUCUUCCUCCUGUCUCUCCCUCUCUCCUUGCAUCCCCAUACUACUUACUCCAGAAAAAGCUACCUGUCAUGUCAUAAGGACACUCAAGCAGCCCUAUGAAGUCAUGCAUGUGGUUAAAAAUUGAGGCCUCCCACCAAUAAGCAGCAAAGGAACUGAAACUUUCUACUAGCAUUCAUGUGAAUGAGCCUUCUAAGAAGUGUAUCCUCCAACCCCAGUCAAGCCUUCAAUGGCUGCAGCCUAACUAAUAUCAGAACCACUUAGCUAAGUCACUCCCAAAUUCCUGACCCACAGAAACUGUAAGAUAAUAAAUAUAUGUUGUUUUAAGCUGCUAAAUUUUGGGGUAAUCUGUUAUGCAGCAACAAGAUGACUAAUACUUAUAAUCAGAAAUAGUAGUGGGUCACUCUUAAAGAAUUUGUAAAAAACCCACACAUUCAGGCACUGUAUUAGCCACUGGGAUCCCUGGUAAAUAAAAGUACCUACAAUUCCUGGCCUUAUAUAGCUUAAAAUAUAGGAUAUAUGAUAGACAUUAACCAAAUAAAUGCAUAAAUAUGUCAUUAUAAACUAUUAUAGGUAACAAAAGAAAACUAUGGGUUAUCGUAAGAACGUAGAGUAGGAAAACCUCAGAUCUCAAUUUGUAUUCUUAUUUUGGAAGGUAUUACUCAAAGCCUCUCCAUUUUCCAGUUCACCUUUGUUCCACCCAUCACUCGCUGAUAGAGUCAGGGAGAAUGUAUUGAACGGGUCCUAAGCCUGUAGUACUGCUGCUGCUCAUUGAACAGAUAAUGCACUUGCACUAUCACCCUGUUACUGCAUCCGGAGGAGUCCAUUCCACAGCAUCCGUGGCAUGUUUCUGUAUAUCAGAGAACUCCCACCCUGUAGCUGACCAGUACACGGAGGAACUACAAGCAGCUAAAAGCAUCAGUUGAUCACCCUCUGGCAUUCCAAGACUUACACUGAUCACCGCUAAGCACUGGGGAGAGCAGAUGCUGUUUUUCUAUGUAAAUGUAGUAUCCAUUCAUAAAAUUGGAAAGUGGCUAUCUGAGGCCCCAUGAAGUCACAAAUGCCAUUAAUCCCUGGCAUUCUCACUCUAAUGACAUCUAUCUAUCUGGAUUCACUUUGCCUUUCACCCUUCCUAGAUUAACCCUGACCAAGACCUGGCUGUCCAUGCCAUACAUGUGUUUACAGCAAUCAAGAAAGAACUGAAAUAAACAGUGAGAGAGGUAGUAGAAAGAGUGCUGGCCUCCCGCUAGCACGAUGGUCACUCCAACAUUUGGUUGCAAUGGAAAGUAACAGUCCUGAAAAGCAGUCAUGGAAUCUUGUUUUCUACCUCAAGAAAAUCCUAGAGUACAUCUGAACUUACACCUGAGACAACCAGGAAAGCCCCCAGAACAAACACUUUUAGGGAAAGAAGUCUGGUGCAUGGGUGAUGCCAUUCAUCCAGACAGCCCAUCCACCAGCCACACACAAUUGUAGGCAAAUUUAUUGAGAACUUCACCAUGAAUACACAAGCUCACACACACACACACACACACAGGUUUGUUCCAGUCACACACACAUUUCACCUCAGUUCUAUGAACCUAAAUUUCCAGUUUUCUGCGCCUACCCCAAUAUCUACUUUUACUCUAUUAAGUUUUGUCAACACUUACAAGUCUCUCCUGGUUUUCUUAGAACUCAGAUAUCCUAAUAUUAGAUUUUCAAAAUAAAACAAAAUUCACCAAGAUUGUGACUAAGUAGUAGUUAUCCACAUUCAGAGGAUGAACUGGUCCACAAAUAUCUAACUCAUCCCCGAUUUCUUUCCUUGUCUUUCAUUAAUUGCUUCCAUUACCCCAACCCCAGCCUGAAGAGGUGUUAUGGCCCAGUUAGCCUGAGACUGAAAGAGUAGACAUAAAAGCCUCCCAUUAAUUCUCUGUCAUAGAUUUUUUAAGCUUGAAUAAUGUUUAAAAGAUAAAAAAAAACUCCCAUAAAAUCCUACUGUUGCUCUACAUUAUUUUUAUUGUGUUACUUCAAAAUGAACAGAUAUAAAUUUCCCAUACAUAUAGCUCUUAAAUUACUUCAAAACUCAAGCAAAGCUGCAAAUUAAAAACAAGCAAACAUACAAAAGCCACUAGAGUUCAUAUAGAAAACAUCAGUGUGAUAAAUGAUAUUUUGCUGGAACUAAAUUGCUGGCGUUGGGUUUAAUACACCUACUAUUUGUAUGUUUUAUGCUUCACUUUCUGUCCUCUUGAUUCUUUUGACUUUGAACAAUACUGGAAGCAUAUCUUAAGUCUUUCUUCAAGUUAUCGUAGGAUUAAUCGUUUUUGGUAAAUAAGCUUGUUUAACUACUAAUCCAUUAGUUUGAGGGGCUGAUAAAUUUAAUAGUGCACCACAAUAAGUACAUAAUAAUAAAAAUACUGAAGAUUAACAUUAAAAAUACUAUUGAAUAAAAAUAACAGUAUUCUUUCCUGCUAUUGAAUGACAGUUCAAGUUGGUAUGUCUCACAAUAACUUCUCAACAUGAUAUGCCACUGCUAUGACAGAAGACAUUUUGAACUAAUGAUGUCUGUACUACCUUUGGGCCACAAAAUUGAUCAAUUUUCCCACAUCUUUCUCUAUUCAAACUUAAUGCAAAAUCGACAUUUCCAUAGCAUGCCGUGAUGUUAUUUGUUCUUCAUUUGGCACCAAACUCAGCCUUCAGCACUAAAAAUAAUGUAGUAGAACAUUUUGAUUUUAUUUCUUUAAGAUUAUCUUCAAAACGAAAGCAGAAAAUUUGAAAAUUCUCAUGAAACACUCACUCUCUCAAGAACAUCUACAGACCUACUUUGAGAAACAGAGCUUUAAUAGCACAACUGAGUUACAGAGGAAAUAUUUAAAUAGUGUUUUACUAAUGCCUUAGGAGAUAUUCAGCGGUGAGAGAACUCUAUCCGUCCAUCGUUAUCUUGAAGCCCCCAGCGGGGCUGUCUUUCAGCCUCACCUCAAGUCAGACCUCUUAAGCAGGUCAAGACCCACAACAGACAGCACUCCCUCUGCUGCUAGCCUGAGGACUGUUUUCCAUCCCUUUCCCAUGAAGGGACUCAUUACAUACGGUCUCUGUGCUGGCUUCCUCCUGUGGUUCACUCUUGUCUCAUUACCUGGGGUAAGAACCCUCUUGCCAGCUUUAAUUAUGAACAAGUUUAUAGUCUUACUAGACCAUUAGCUCAAGGAUCACAAAUAUGAUUGCCUCCACUAAUCGACAGAUACAAUGGUUCCAGUCCACUAGACCUUCCUCCCAUAGCCCUGGGGAUACCCUUGUUUUCUACCCACCUCAGACCCCUCCCUUCACCCCCGUGCCCCACCACCUGCCCAGGCCAACCAAAACAAAGAUGCUGCAGGAAGUACUGGUAGUUCAGAUAUCUCCUUGGUCGAUGUAGACAUUAUUUUCCUAGGCCUGAGGAUCUACUCAAUAACAAAGUCAAGGGGUUUUUGUGGAAGAAAAUUCAACUUUGAGAAAAAUGAGUGAAUUAGUUGGGUUGCUGAAAAGUCCUCUUCAGGGAAAAGGUUUCCUCUUUAUUUGGUCAAGGGCCCUCUUCACAAUCUUCCCAUUUGUGGCUCCACUUUGCUGUCCCCUUAUAUAGUUGUGGUCAAAGCCAGAUAAAACAUUAUGUAGAAAUAAAUGAAGUUAGUAAAAGGAGCUUACUGCAAAUAUACUAUUAUCACAACAAUAAGAUAAAAUAGCAGAAAAGAGAAUAAGAAGCAUGAACACCAAGAAUAAAUAAUAUAAAAUACGAAAGAUUAAAAACCAGAAGUUUAAAAGACAAAAUAGGCAAAGAAUAAUACUAACUAAAUGAAUUUACUAGAAAGACAAAAAAAGAGUCAUGCACUAAAUGGAAGGAAAAAUUAAAUGUCAAAAAUAGUGUGCAAAGGUUAACAUCCUCCAACAGGGCAAACUGGGUGAGUCCUUUGAGCCGUGUGUGCUGCAAACUUCCCACUUGACUGACUUGCCAGCGUCAAUCAUCAUCGCUGAAGGCAGCCCUGAGGGGAGGGUCUGUUCUUAGGGGAGGUCUCCUCAAGUCAGCAAACUUCAGCACAGAGGAGGUCAGGUCAAUGAAGAUCUCACCAUUCAGCUCAAGCCUCCAGGCACUUUGAGGUAGCUUUCAUUCCAUAAUUAAGAAGCUUUGCCAGUAGACAUUAAAUUGUUCUAGUUGAAUUUCCAACCUAGCCCCUAUGCAAAACCAUGGCCAAAUUUGAUGGUUUCUCCAUAAUCAGAAAGUGUGCCUUCCAGUAUCUAUUAAUUGUAUAUUUUAUCCUGGGAUGCCACGCUAGAAAGAAACAGGGUCUUCACGACAUCCUUGUUUAUUGCCUCUGCAGUCCACUCUGUUCCAGGCUGGUUCACGUUCAACUGGGGCUGCUUAGCUAAUUCACAAAGUAGUAGAUUCCAGGCCUCUGGUCAAAAUACAGGCUUCUGUUGUUUUACUCUAAUAAUAGAAACAAAUAUUUGUUUCUAUUUGGCACUUAAUAUAUGCUGAAAUCCUCACUGCCUACCUGCCCCAGUCUAGGGAGAACUGGCAGAGCUAAAGCCCAUGGAAGCAGCCAUCCCUGGUCAGAAGCCACGCAAGGAGCUUUCACCUCUUUGGCUCUAUUUUUACAUUUUCAGGGUAAUAUGUUCUCAAGACCAUUAAGACAGUGCUGAAAAGACUAUAAAAAUAUAAAUGGAAGAUUUAGCUUUCCAUGGAGGUAGAAAUAGAAGGGUGAUUUGUCUUAUCAUUUUCUCACCUUAAUAAUGAAGACUCCAUCUCUGUAGCCACUUCUGACUCCUGGACGUACACCGUGUGUUUGAGUGGGUGUGUGUGUGCAUGCGCACGUGUGUGUAUGGGUGUGUGUGUAGGGAAAUCAUGAAGGAAGGAAGAUGUGCAGAGGUAGCAGGCUGUUAACAUUUGCUAUUACCUCAGGGGGAUGGGAAGAGAGAUGGUUAUAGGAGGUCGAGAUUAUUAAGUUUUUCUCUACCGAUCUUGGCAUUAUCUCUCUGGUUACAAUAAUAUGCAUUGCUCUUGUAAUUUGAAAAAAUAAUAAAUUAAACUUGAAAAACAGAGGAAAUUUUUCCCAUCAGAAUAAGACUGCAACAGAUGAAGAAAUAGUUUACUAAAUGUGGCUGAGGGUUUAAAGUUGCAUUUGUGUACCUGGUGAAUAAAUAUGCCUACCAAGAUCAAAGCCCAUAGAGAUGACAUAUCUCUUCUUCUUCCAGACCAGACUAGGUCCUGCAGGAUGUUGAUAUUUCAGAUCAUCACUCUAAGAGCAAACAUUCAUGCAAGAUAUGAAGAGGACAUAAUUACCUUAGCAGGGAGGGGUCUGUACAAACUCCUUUGACUUUAGAGCCCUAAGAAUAGAAUAUGUUGGAGGCAGAUUAUCUGUACUACCCUUGAAAACAAUGCUCUCUAAAACCAAAGUCCACAGUACUGAGUGGAUUAGCCACUAUAAAUUACCUGUGCAGGAAUGUGUGUGUGUGUGUGUGUAUGCGUGUGUGUGUGUGUGUGUGUGUGUGUAGAAAUGUUGUGAAUAAUAAAUAUAUUGAAAUAGGAAUUCUGUGUACAUUAAUUUUGCUUUAAUUCUACCUUCUGAAGAUAUCUCAUUAGUAGAGAUCAUAUUUGUCUUUUAAAAAUCUCUUUGAAGAUGUCCCAUGGAAGUGGGGGAAUGGAUUAUUCAAGAUGGCCAACAUUCUAAUAAAAACUGGCUUCACUUUUCUGGCAUCAUAAUCACUACCUCUAUCAAAAUAGUCUGCAAACACUUAGAGUGUCAGAAUUCGGUCCAGGGACCCAGCCCAAAACCCAAAUUUCUGGUAAGAGGGAAGAUUCUGAGGGUCCUGGCGUCUUAUGGGAAAAGAGGACAGGUGCAGCUGAUGAAGCUAAAAGUACAGAAGCCCACAGCACCACCCAGACAGUCAGUGAGUGGCGCUUGAGAGUAGGAACACAGCCCUUGGCACAGAGAAGCUAGAAUUUACCUAGCAGGCCCUGAUAUUUGUGAUUUGGAAAGAUUUCCUUUUAUGAACAUUUGGCUUCCCUGGGAGUUAACCUUGGUGCUUGACUCAGAUCCUGGCCUUCGGUAGAACUCAGUAGCUAAGUUCUGCCCUUGUUCCUGGAAAACUUUUUUUUUUUUUUUUUUUUGAGAUGGUGUCUCACUCUGUCACCCAGGCUGGAGUGCAGUGGCGCAAUCUCGGCUCACUGCAAUCUCUGUCUCCUGGGUUGAAGUGAUUCUCCUGCCUCAGCCUCCUGAGUAGCUGGGAUUACAGGCACGUGCCACCAUGCCCAGAUAGUUUUUGUAUUUUUAGUAGAGACAGGGUAUCUCCAUGUUGGCCAGGCUGGUUUCAAACUCCUGACCUCAAGUGAUCCGCCUACCUUGGCCUCCCAAAGUGCUGGAAUUACAAGCAUGAGCCACUGCGCCUGGCCUGGAACAAUUUCUUACCAACUUUUUCUAACAUUUUGGUUAUGGCUCCUGCCUGGGUCAUCCAUGACUGGUUACCCUCCGUCACCUGACCUUCACCUGCACAACCAACACUGUGGCUCCUGCCUAAAUUCUUGCCCUCACCUGUCUUUCUUCCCAACUUACAUCCCCUGCUGACCUGCCUCACUUUUCUGCUUUUUUAAGACAUCAGACUUUAAUAAGGGAAAUCAAACAAAUGUAAUUAAAGAUAAACACAUAAAUAACUGGUGGACAGGAAUGAAAUUAGCUGCUCUUUUUUCUUCGUGUCAAGUUUCCACUGGCUUCUCCUAGCCAGGUGACUUUCCAUUCUCUUUCUAUUUUUGGAAAUCCUAAUGGACUACAAGGUCCUAGGUUGUUCCUCAAUUGCUUUGUGUAUACCACUCAGGUUUUCCCCAAAACACUAAAUUCCCUGAGGCAGAGAUGAUGUCCUAUUUCUUUUGUGCUCCCACAGCACCUAACAGAUAGACGGCUUCAAAGGAGUUGCUCAAUAAAUUCUUACUGGUUGGUCAGUUGAUUAAUUUAGAAUUCAACUAUUGUUUAGUCAUUAAGCAUGUCCAUGGAAAGUGUAAGCUCAGCAUUUAAAUAUCAGUGAGAAGAUGUGCAGAAAAAAACCAGUGACAUCAACGGGGAGGAUUAUUUAUCAAAUUGAUGCAGGGUUUUGUUUUGUUUUGUUUUGUUUUUUGUCGUCGUUGUUGUUGUUGUUUUGCCAUAGUUAAGGGAUGUCUUUUUACCUAAGAAGAGAGAGCAAACAAAAUUGAGUACAUUUAUACUUUACAUCAAACUCUAGGAUAUUACACCUCAAUAGACACUAAAGAUUUUCCUAAUCCAACUCUACCUCCCUGAUUUGAAGUGAGAAAGUAGAAGCCUAGGGAGGUGAAGGAAUGACCCAAUUUCCCAAGAGACAAUUAUCUCCUAGGUUCUCAAAUUUUACUUUUUAGUAAAUAUUGCUCAAUUUUUAUUCUUACCACUACAUUUACAAACCACUUAUUAUAAUACAUAAUUUUUUUAACUUUUUAGUAUGAAAAAUUUCAAACAUAGACAAAAGUUGAAAGAAUAGUAAAAUGAGGGGAGAAAGAGCAUUAGGACAAACACCUAAACGCAUGCAAGGCUUAAAACCUAGAUGAUAGGUUAAUAGGUGCAGCAAAUCACCAUGGCACAUGUAUACCUAUGUAACAAACCUGCAUGGUCUACACAUGUAUCCCAGAACUUAAAGUAAAAUUUUUUAAAAAAUAGUAAAAUAAAUAUUCAUUUACUCUCCACCUAGAUUUGACAUUGCUAAUAUUUAGCCAUGUUUGCUUCUCUCUGUGUAGAUAGAUAGACAUCGUUUGUUUGUUUUUGGCUGAAUCAUCUAACACCGAGUUUCAGACAUUGUAACUCUUCAACCCGAAACACCCUGCCUACAUCUCUGGAGCAUAGACAGUCCCCUACAUUACCAUUAUUACACCAAAUGAAAUUAGCAAUUGUUCAUAAUACCACUGAAUAACAAGUUCAUAUUUGAAUUUCCACUUUUCCCAACAAUAUCUCUUAUAGUUGCAUUUAUAUUUUUAACCUGAACCCAAUCACGUUUCAUGCAUUAUAUUUCAUUAUGAUGACUCUUUUAACAGAACAGUCCCCCCAUUCUUUCUUGAUAUUAACAUUUUGAAAUAUCCAACUGAGUUAUCUUUUAGAGUGUCCCAGGUUAUGGAUCACAUUGCCAUUUACUCUUGAACAACAUGGGCUUCAACUGCGUGGGUUCACGUAUACACAGACUUUCUUCUUCCUCUGCUGCCCCUGAGACAGCAAGAACAACCUCUCCUCUUCCUCCUCUUCCUCAGCCUACUCAAUGUGAAGACAAUGAGGAUGAAGAUCUUUGUGAUUAUCUACUUCCACUUAAUGAAUAGUAAACAUAUUUUAUCUUCCUUAUGAUUUUCUUAAAAACAGUUUCUUUUCUCUAGCUUAUUUCACUGUAAGAAUACAGUAUAUAGUACAUAGAGCAUACAAAAUUACGUGUUAACCAACUCUGUUAUGAGCCAGGCUUCUGGUCAACAGUAGACUACUGGUAGUUAAGUUUUGGAGGAGUCAAAAGUUAUACAUGGGUUUUCAACUGCAUGGAGGGGAAUGGCACUUCUAACUCCUGCAUUGUUCCAAGGUCUGUGGUACUCAAUGAGCAAAUUUCAAAAAUCAACAAGUAGUAAUUAAGUUGGAGAUUAUCUACAAAUGGAGAAAGUAAGUGAUUUGGGCACAGUACAAAGAUGAGACAUAGAGUCUCUGAUAAGUGUUCUCAAAUAUAUCUUUCAAAUAAAGUAAGAUAGAACUACAAGAAGCCAUCUAUCUAUUUGGCUAUUGAAGAGUUUCGUGAGAACUUUCACAAAUAUGAGUAAAUUAAAGAAAUAAGAUUAUUGUCUGAGAAUUAAGUUCUACACAAAACAGAUCAAAACCAAUGGAUAAAGUCAUCUGAAACAGACAGAAUAUGUCUGAAAGCUUAGCAAGUACAAAGACUAAAAGAGCCAGUCAAAGCAGGGUUAGUCAGCCAUAAAAAGCAUAAAAACAGGAGCAUGAGAAUGGUGAACAUCAGCAGAGCCCGUGUAAGAAGUGCCCACUGGAGAUGGUGCCUCAGCCAAUGGCUUUGAAUAAUCUAACACCUUUAGAAAGGCCGUUCCUACAGUAAACGUGGCAGUAUCGGCUCUCCUAGCUUAAUGUCAUUAAAUGUUUGAAUCAUCUAACUAGCUAGCUCUUUUGGAUUCCACGCUCACUAAGCAACAUUCUGAUAACUUGCCCUCCUUGGAGGUCUGACUUCAUUAAAAGAAUGUGCAAGUCAUGUAGAGACAAGUGUUCCAGACACAGUGGCAGUUUUAUCCCUCUUGUGAAUCAAUACAUUGACAUGCUGGUUUCAUGCAUCAGCUCUCUGAGCUUAAUUAAUUAGAGUUGAAGCUGAGGGAUGGAUCCACUCUCAGUGUGCUGACAGAUCCAGUUUCUAAACCUGCAGGGCAUAGACCAGACCCUGGACCGAGGCAGUGCCACCCUGUGAGGUCUCUCAGGAGACAGCAAAUGCUCAUCCUCUCAUAUCCCCACAUUGCCUUUGGCAAUUAAAUUCCUCUAAGCUUUGUGUCUGUCUACUGACUCUGAGGGCAUUGAUUUACAGGGAGUGAACCAGAUGUGGAUUGGCAAAUCUCUAAUCCCUUUUACAGAGAGGACACUAGACUGAAAUUGGAACAAAUAUGACCCUUCUCUUGGAUCAGCUAAAGCAAUCUUUAAUGUAGUUUGUGUCUGAAGAUGUUAUUUUAUCCUGGCCCACUUUCAACUAACUUUGGUUAAGGAAAUGCCAUUUGUGUCCCUAGGUUGUGAGUAUUAAGCAUCCUUUCAUAUCUGUCAAUUUUCUCCACUUUAAAAUGAGGAUAAUACUACCUAUUAUGUUAUUGAUUUACUAAUCAUUCAUUCAACAAAUAUUUAUUGAGUGUCUGCCAUGUGAAAGCUACCAUGCCAGGUACUGGUGGUAUUUGGGAAAUGGAGAUGCUUGGUUUCUGCAUUCUAAUGGGGGAAAUAUAAUUUAAAUAAAUUUCAUUAGUCCAGUUGGGCUGCUAUAACAAAAUACCAGAGACUGGGUGGCUUAAACAGAAAUUAAUUUCUCGCAGUUCUGGAGGGGGAAGUCCAAGGUCGAGGUGUCAGCCAAUUUGAUGAGGGUUGUUUUCCUGGCUUGUAGAUGGCCACCUUCGGGCUCCAUGCUCACAUGACCUCUUCUUUGUGCAUGUGCAAAAAGGAAGAGAGGAGAGACAGAGAAAGAGAGAGAGAGAGAGAGAGAGAGAAAGCAGGAGCUCUCUGUUGUCUUUUCUUAUAAGAACACUAAUCCUGUGGGAUUAAUGCCCUACUUGUAUGCCCUCAUUUAACCUUAAUUACUUCUGUAAUGACCCUAUCUCCAAAUACAGUCAUAUUGGGGGUUAAGGCAUCCACAUAUAAAUUUAGGGCAGGGGGAGGGUACAGAAAUAUCAACAAAGGCAAGUGAUAGAUUGAUUGAUUAAUAUUACAAUAUGGUCAGAGUUGCAAAGAAACUGCAAUAAGAAAAACCCUUUUGGGAGGAUUAAAUGAGUCAGCUACCUGGUUCUUUGCCCCCUCUACUUCUUUCUUCCUAUCUAUAUAACCUUAUUUAAUCUUUGUCUAUGGUCAAAGGCUAGAGGGCGAGUGGCACAGUCUCCCACCAACUUGUCCAAUGUGUCUCUCCUCAUUUUCUUUCUUUCCUAUGGAACCUAAUCCUCCAACCUAUAAACAGUGCUCCCCAUUGGGAUAAAAAUUUGUAGCUGCGAAGAUUGAAAAAAAACAUGCAGCUUGAGCAUCAGCAGAAGAUGCUGGGUCUUUCUGACUCCGGAACCAACUAUGCCUCUACUGCUGCCCCUGAAAAGGGUAACCUGGGCAACCUUGGCUACUGGAGCUUAUAUACCCACUGUUCUUGCUGCUGCCGGAAGCUGGCCGAGCACAUCUCCUUCAGUGAUACAUCCGUUUUUGUUUUUAUCUUUCUCUUGUCUUGGGACCUUAGAAUAAAUUCACUCAGUACUUGCACUGGAUGAACUUCAGCUCCUUUCUACCCUAAAAGGAGUUCUUUAUCUACUCAGAAGACUCCCCUCACCCCAGAUGAAGGAGGAGGCUUUGCCACCCCUUGUUCUCAGGAAUAUUAAUUCUAGUUUUUAUGGGUUGAAUGUUGUCUCCGCAAAAAUUCAUGUUGUAUUUCUAUCAGUACCUCAGAAUGUGAACUUAUUUAGAUAGAGGGUCUUUAGAGAGAUCAUUAAGUUAAAAUGAAGUCAUUAAGGAGUGAGCCUUAAUCCAGCGUGACCGGUGUCCUUAUAGAAAGGAGAAAUAGGCAGACAGACAUACAUACAGCAGGAAUAUGAUAUAAACAAGGAGACACCCACCAAUAAGCCAAGGAGAGAAGCCUGGAAUGGAUCCUUCCCUCACUGCCCUCAGAAGGAACCAAUCCUGCCAACAACUUGAUUUCAGAAGUCUAGCUUCCAGAGCUGUGAGAUAACAAAUGUCAUUGUUUAAUCUACCCAGUUGUGGUAUUUUGUUAUGGCAGUUCUAGCAAAUUAAUACACUAGUGUUUAGGGCCUGGCCUCAGUCUCAAUAAUCUACCUAUUUUAUUUAUGUCAACAGGACUCCUAAAGACCUGUCCUGAUAUGCCAGGACCUUGAAGUCCUCAUAUGGAUCAAUCUUUCCCUCCCCCAUGGCUGUCACUUCACUGAGAAUGUACCCCCUUAGGGUCUCCUAUAUAUGAAAGUCACUUCUUCAGCAACUAAGGAUUAAAUAUGAGUAAGACUCAAAGUUUUUAAAGUCUAAUGAAAACUUUUGUUGCUCUUCUUUAUUCCUGGACCUGAGAUGGUGCCAGGGAAAAGAAUGGGAGAGUGGCCACAGCCCUAGCCACAGAGCAGACCCUCAGCUGGCCUUUGCCUGUCUUUUCAUUCCAGGUCCCAGGCCUAAAGAGCAACCAUACUGUGGGACAUUCUCUUCUCAUGGCAGACAGCAGAAGAUCAAGAGGGACGAACCAAAAUAUGCCUUGUCUCAUAACCUUGUGCUUAGAACUGGCACUUUGUCGCUUCCACCCAUGUUCCACGGAUCAAAGCAACAAUUAAGGCCAAGCCCCACAUCAGUGGAGCAGGGGUGCACGUGUCCCUUCAGGGAGAAUGGGCAAGUCACACCAUGGGCAGGGCUGUGUCACCCUAUUACAGGGGGAAACUAGGAGUUGGGAACAACAGUUCUUUCUACCACAGAUUUAGAGUGUACUCUUUUGAGGAACUUGAUGGUAAAAGUAAACAGAGCAGUAACUAAAGGAAGAUAAGAAGCCAACUAUGGCUUCCAUUUUGUUUUAUUUUUCAGGUAGGAGACAUUUGAGUAAGUUUAUAUAUUACUGGGGAAGGAGACAGAAAGGAGCAAUAAAAAUACAGAAAUGAAAAGAAAGAAGUGAUGAACAUCACUUCGACAAUUCUUCACUUUCAAAACGCAAACUGUAUCACCCGGGGUCCAAUUAAGACACAGAAACCACACUAUAAUUUGGUUGGGGAAAGUUUAAUAUAAAAAAAGUUGGCUGCUAAGCAGUAACAAAAGAGAAUUGGCUGCUAAUGGGGUAACAAGAAGUCUAAAGAAUAGAGGACUGACAUGUACAGAAAGCGGCCACUAUCCCCAGGGCUGAGGCAGAGCACACAAGGAUGGAAUGACUAUGGAAGAGCAGCCCCCACUACCUGAGCUGAGAUCCAGACCUUGAUGGGAAGUACACAGCCAUGACUUACUGGGUGGUGCAGUCACCGAGGGGCAUCCUGGCAGGACUCACUGGCAAUUCACCUUCUGGGGUACUGAGAGAAGAUGCCUAUGGAAACACAUGCUGCUGGUCACCGGUCACUGUGCACUACAAAAGUCUGCCUAGAAAAAAAAAAAAAAACAUUAAACUAGGAAAUACUGUUCAUCCUCCAGUGUCCCCUACUGAUGAAGCAUAUAACAUCAUACUAGCUAAGCAAGGGGAAAGGUUCCAAUAUCACAAGCAAGCAAUGAAGGUGGGUUUGGAGCUGAGAGGCAAGAGGUGAUAACCAGCACCCCAACCCUGGUGAAAUCAAAUUCUAUGCCUAUUCCACACCAGCCCCUAUGCAGCUAUAUGCGGCUAGAGAAAGCAACAACAAUAUCAACAACAACAACCCAACUGAUUGGUCCAACUGGUCUUGUCAUUAGGUCUCAAACGGUCAUUAGUGUGGCCAGAAAUCCUAUCACAUUUUCAUGCUGCUCACUAAUCUGCUCACCUGGAUGAUUAUUUGACACCUUCUCCUCGCUCCUCAAACAUACAACACCUUUUCCCCAACCCACUCACUCUCUCCAUGGUGAACUUGGUUCCUAUUUCACAAAGAAAAUAGAAGCAUUGGGAACUUUUGCAAGCUCGCACCACCACACCUGCACACCUACCAGUAUCUGCACCCACAUCCUUUGCCUUCCCACCAGCUAAGUGACUGAGAUGUCAGGGCUCCUCUCUAAGGACAUCCUCUCUACUUCUCCAUCAGACUCCCAUCCCCUCUUGCCUACUCAAGAAACUCACUCUGCUUCUCUCUCUUUCUCUCUCUCUCUCUCCUUUCCCUACAUCAUCAAUUUCUCCCCUCCACUUGACCAUUCCUAACAGAAUACAUGAAUGCAUCUAAAAAAUACACACUCUUUACCCCACACCCCUCCAACUUCUGCCUCACUUCUUUGCUCUUAUUUAUAGAAAAAGUCCUUUUUAUUAACUUGUCUAUAUUCAUUGUCUCCAAUUUUUCUCUUCUAACUCCGCUUGCACUUACUCCAGUGAGGUAUUUAUCACCACCAGGCCACUGAGACAAUAUCUUCAAGAUCACCAGUAACCAGGGCCACCCCUAGUAUACAAAGCCCUAAAAAAAUAUUUUAUAAGACCCUUGCCUAUCUAAACAAUUUAAUUUUAAAAGGUAUUUCAAAAUGUAUGGGCCUAUGUGAGGUACUUACAAAUGUGUUUAUUCUUCUAUCACUGCACAUGAAGAUUCUUCAUAGAGUCCAGACACCAGCUAUUCCUGUUCAGAUCCGGGAAAUAUCUGCCCAUGCUCUUUUGGUUAAAGUUUUAUUUCCUAUUGUGAGAAAGAGGCGGCAACAUUGUUGUCACUCACGAUGUCAUAGCUUUUGGAACCUGUUUGUAUUGAAACAAUAUAGUUUUGGGUUUUGGUUUUGUUUUUUCGCCUCUGUGGUUCUCUGAUACCAUUUGUCUAAUGUUGGUUGCAUCUUGACUGAUAGUGCUGCAUCAUUCAUCGUGGCACCUGCAAAUACUGGCAUCCAACCACUCUCUCAGAGGUUGUUUCUGUACUUCAUUAAUAAUGACCAAAAUGCAAGCCUUACCCAGAAUAUUCAGGAAAGUAUGAAUGAUAAUUUAUUUUUCAUUUGGAGUUUUAUAGUGUAACCAUAAAGUGACACAUCUUCCAACCAUGUAUUCUCUUGAAUUCUUCAGGCCAUUAUAACUACAUUCUUAGAAUGUGAUCCCUUUCAACAUUUCCUGCACCUCUGCUUCUGCACACUACCACCAAAAGACAAGAAAGGCAAGGAGACGUGACUGGAGCAAGAAAAACAGUGUUUUUCACACAAGGAUGUCCACUCCUUGUUGGGAAUGGCUUAAGAUCGACCUGGGAAAGCAAAACAUCGCCAUAUCAUUUGGAGGAAAGGCACUGGUUGGAAGAGCCUGUUGGCGUGGCAAAGCCAAGGUCUUUAAAGUCCUCAGAGAAGGCAGGCAUAGCCACCACUGGAGGACUUCCUGAUAUGUGGUACAGAGACUGAUGAGGGCAUGGGGUGACAACCUUAGGUGCCAACAGCAAGGGGAUGGAUAUACAGGGUAAAGGAGGCUUGCUGCCAUCCUACGCCUUUGAACGCCACAAAUCAGAGAUGGUACCAUGGAGGAACAUGAACAGGUGAGAGCUGAGGCAUGGGUGCCCACACACAGCCCAAGCCCAGGUGCUAACAGUUGACCAUCAGUAGCCCAGUGCCCCGAAUUCAUCCUGCGCCUGAUUAUCACCCAAAAGCAGUGCAUCGGCACCAUUCUGGUGACUCAAUAUCACACAAUGGCACCAGCCAGCAGGAACAAUCCAAUUGCCAGGCUGCCCUCCUGCACAGAGCCCAAGCCACAGAGCCCUCAGAUAACUCCAUUGAUGCAAAUCUCAGAGUUCCUCAAGGAAACAGGUCAACCCUGCACAUGGAGUGGAGAUUCAGAAAGGCCCCAAAAAGGAAAAAAACAAGGAUCAGUGUCCAUGUAUGUCCCUGUAUGGGGCUGCCAUUUGUCCUAACCACCCUGGGGUCUGCCAUAGCUGAGCCAGCCCUACUGGAAGAGGAUAGUCAAAUAACCUCACUCGUAUUCUUUUGCCACUUACUGUGUUGCCCUAGCUUCCCUCCAGGGGAUCCUCAUUUUGUCCUAGGCUCAACCUUACCUUUGAUCACUUUAGGACUCAGGCACAAGAUUUCACAUUGCUGGGAAUCCAUUUUCAGUCUUUGAAAAGACACAGUGAUUCUUCAGGAAGUUUGUUAUCCCAAAGAUGCAACAGAGACAGAAUUUCCCAGCUUGAAGGGAUUUGAAACAUCCAUAAAGUUACAGAAAUUCAUAUCUGGAGGAGUCUUAACGGUCAUUCAGACCAACGCUUUCUCGGGUAUCUAUAACAUCCAAUGCCCUAGUUUCCCUGCUGUCUUUUUUGGCCACUCCUUUUCAAUCUCCUUUGCAGGCUACCCUUUACAGGGCUCAGUCUCCACACUCUUUUGUUCUAGAUUUUCCCCUGGUGACCUCACCGAGGCCUACAGCUUUAAAUACCAUCCAUAUGCUGAUAAUUCCCAAAUUUAUAUUUCCAGUCCCAAGCUCUCCACUGAGUUUCAGGCUCAUAUAUCCAAAUGUCUACUUCUUGCCUUCAGUAUACCUUACAAACCUCUCAAGUUUGACGUGCCUAGAACUGGACUCUGGAUUUUACCUUUUGCCCGUAUCAACAAGUUCCUCUCUUAGUCUUCCAAUCACAGAAAGGGCUCCACCAUCAAGAUGGACAUGAGCCUAAAACCCAAGAAUUCUUGUUUCCUGCCUUCCUUUCCUUCUCUCACAUUCAGUCUCCUGGUAGACUUGUUCAUUUACUUCCACCAUUUCUAUCUACUUCUUUUCAUCUCCAGUGCCAACAUUCUUGUCCAAGCCAUCACUCUCUCUCCCCAAACCACUCCAAUAGCAUCCUAACUGGUUUUCCCUACCCUUAUCUCACCUCAAUCCAUUCUCUGCAUAUUAGCUGGAGUGAUCCUUUCAAGAAGUGAAUACAAACCUUAAAUCUUUCAACAGCCCUCACUGCAUCCAGAAUAAAAUCCAAGCACCUAUAACUGCCUAAUAUGGCUUCUGUCCACAUCUAACCUCAAAUCUUACCUUCUGCCCUUGCUGUGCUCAAGCCUUUCUGGCCUUUCAUUUCCUUAAACACACCAAGCCUUUCCAGCAUCAGAGACUUUACAAUUCUUCCUGGAAUGCUCUUCCACUAAUUUCUUUAGGUCAUAGUUUGUGGUCAUUUGAAAACAUGUCCACAAAUUCUUUUCUAUCCUAAAAAAAGGGGGAAUCCAAUUCCCCUCCUCUUGAACAUGGACUAGCCUCAGUGGCUUGCUACUAAUGAAUUAAAUGGUAUAGAAGUGACUGUAACUUCUUAGACUAGGUGACCAAAGAUGGCACAGCCUCCACCUGGUUCUCUGUCUUGUGAGGCUCACCCUUGGAACCCAGCCAUCAUGCUGUGACAAAGCCAUGUACCACAUGCAGGUGUUUCGGGGAACAGACCUGUCAGAGGUCCUUGCCAACAGCCAACAUCAGUCAGCAUCAACCACUAGACAUGUAAGUGAGGAAGCCUCCAGAUGAUUCCAGUUCCCACCUUCAGCUGAUGUUAGGUGGAGCAGAGACAUGCUGUCCCCACCUGCCUAAACUGCAGAUUCAUGAGUAAUGUAAUUUCUGUCAUUGUUUUAAGCCAUUAAGUUUUGGGGCAGUUUGUCACACAGCAAUAGACAACUGGAACACAGCUCAUAUGCCCCUUCUCAGAACUGCCCUCCCUGAUCAUCCUAAGUGCCCAUUGGCAUUAUCCAUAACCUGAAAAUUAUUAUGAUUGAUCCUAAAGUCCAGCCUGGUGCCUGGCACGUAGGAGAUGCUCAGUGAAUAUUUGUGGAAUGAUUGAAUAAGGAAAUGAAUCCUCUUGUCACAUUUGAAGUUAUCAGUCAUCAAUAAAAUGGGGAUUUGUUUCAUCGUUUGCAGGGUGAUGACAUCAAACUCAAUUCGGAGAGAGGAAAGGGUAGUUAUGAAGCAUGCUCCACUGGUGCUGCUGGAUAGUGAGGGUGGGCAGACUUGACGACCACCAGUCCAGGACCUAGACAGCCUGAAGACACGGGGGCCUGAAAAGGUAGUUGGGGAUGCCCAAAGAAUGCUAGUCCUGGUGCCAAUGCAGCAGACAGUCACCUUGUCUGUUGUCGAGUAAACAAGUGCCUCCUCUUGGGCCUGUGAUGCCUGCCAGCACAUGUCUUUCUCAGAGGUGGGCAUAUUCUCUAUUUGGGAAACAAUGGGUAGAGGGAUUGAAGCAGGAGAAGUUUCAGAGAAUCACUCUUGCAAGAGAUGCUGCACUCUGGCAGACUCGAUAAUGACAAAUAUGUCAAGCAACUGAGUUUCAGCAGGGUUCCUUCGGGCCUUGUUCACCAACUUGUGGUUUCCGUGGUGACAGGACAGCUGCCAGGUAGAUGGCGGCUUUGGGGCCACCUGACUGGCUCUGACGAUAACUGGCUUUGACAGCUUUGAUUGGAAUGAAAAGAUUUAGGGUCCCUACUGGCUUUCUUAAAUUAAACCCUCCCUCCUGGAGUUAGCUUGUUUAUCAACAUUAUCUUAGAUUAGGGGACUUUCUUGUGAUCAGAGAGUUCUUUUACCACGAUGGUUCACAUGUUGGGGCCACUGGCAGGGUUUCUGAGAUCAGGGUCCUCGGAGCAGCACAGAGAGGUAAGGCUACACCCUGAUGUGCUUCUCAGGCAAUGCCUCCAAGGGGCAUGUUAACAGUCAGAUCUAGUUAGGAAAGAAAACAGGAAAAGGACCUGCAUUUUAACAGAAAUAAUUUAAUCUAGGCAAUUGAGUAAGCAGGUAUUAGAGGCUGAAAGGCAAAAAGGAAGUAUCAAGAUAAACACAGGGAUGGUAACUGCCAGAGGCAGCUCUACCUCUGGGGCUGAAGAACACAGGGAAGAUACUGGGGUUGCAAUAAUUUCAAAGCUUGGAAGAGGAGCCCUGCGGAGCUGGGACCUAGGCUUCUAAGGAGCGGCGACUGCACAGUAUCUGUGAGGCUGGAUUUGAGAGUCCAGAAAAUGUUGAAGACUGGAACCCAUUGCUAUUGAGGUAAACUGCCACUGCAAGGUGAAAAGUCAUUGUUGGGGUGAUGCUCACAGGGACAAGAAGCAGUCCCAGGAAGAGGCAAGUCCCUGCUCUGCCAAUUUGCCAUCCCUCCUUACUGACAGAGCCCCACAUGGAGCCAGCUGGCCACAGAGCAGUGUGGUUCGCCAAGUUCCAGCCCCAGAAUCACAGGGUAGAGUACAGACAGGUGGGUCUGACCUUAGAGACAUCAGCUUCAUAAUCAGCACAGGGAGUGUGAACAAGACGACAAUGGUAGGCCCUGAGAUAGAACAGCCAGGCCCAAAACACCCACACCUACCCUUCACUGGUAGAAAUCACCUCAUGCAGCUGUGUGUGGUAGCUCACGCCUGUAAUCCCAGCACUUUGGGAGACUGAGGCAGGUGGAUCACCUGAGGUCAGGAGUUCAAGACCAGCCUGACCAACAUGGAGAAACCCCAUCUCCACUUAAAAAAAAAAAAAAAUACAGGGCCGGGCACGGUGGCUCACACCUGUAAUCCCAGCACUUUGGGAGGCUGAGGCAGGUGGAUCACGAGGUCAGGAGAUCGAGACCAUCCUGGCCAACACGGUGAAAUCCCAUCUCUACUAAAAAUACAAAAAAUUAGCUGGGCGUGGUGGCAGGCAGCUGUAGUCCCAGCUACUCGGGAGGCUGAGGCAGGAGAAUCGCUUGAACCUGGGAGGCAGAGGCUGCAGCGAGCCGAGAUCGCGCCACUGCACUCCAGCCUGGGCAACAGAGCUAGACUCCAUCUCAAAAAAAAAAAAAAUACAAAAUUAGCUAGGCGUGCUGGCACAUGCCUGUAAUCCCAGCAACUGGGGACACUGAGGCAGGAGACUCGCUUGAACCCGGGAGGCGGAGGUUGCGGCGUGCUGAGAUUGCACCACUGCACUCUAGCCUGGGCAACAAGAGCAAAACUCUGUCUAAAAAAAAAAAAGAAAGAAAGAAAAGAAAAGAAAAAAAGAAAAGAAAUCACCUAAUGCGUGCUCAGUUCUUUACACUUUACAAACAGCUUCUUAUGUUAUCUUAUUUAAAGGCAGAAAACUGCCUAUGUGUACUGGCACUGACCACCACAUGAGGAGAACAGGACACUGUCCCAAGCACCCAGCAUUGGUGUCCUUUGCUUUCACUUUGUCCCUGAGCUCCUGAGGAACAGCCCUGAUGCAGCCUGACCUGGGCAUUUCCCGAGAUGUGGAAGUUUUCAACUUGUUUCUUGGGCAAAGUAGGCAGGUCACCAAGCAGGACAGUAACCCUGCCCCCAACUCUGUUUUGGCCAGAAUAUCUCCACUAACAUUUGUUUCUCAUACUGGGUCUCCAGGUAAGCUUAUGUAUGAAGAGGAGGCUCUUCAGUGAACAAUAGCUUGGAAACCUUUGCCCUAGAGGGAGAAACCUUCAAGCUGCCAGCCACCAAAUAAGCCCACAAGGCUCACUUCCAUUGUCUUCUCCUCUGCAAUGCCCUUUGUCCCUACCAGCCUGAGGCAAACAUCAGUCCCUAUUGUCCCCUUCGGAGGUUAACCCUACCUCCAAAACCUCUUAAGAGUAUCCUUUCAAAGCAUGUUGGCAGAGUGGCCUGCUGAGUGUCCGAUUUCUCAGUGUGUGGGUUGGGCCUGUUGUUUUGUAUGCAUAGCUUGGGGUGUUGAUUUUUGUUCAUUUGUUGGUUGGUGUGUUUUUCUGCCAAAAAAAAACUGUUAAUCCACCCUACAAGAAAGGAAGGUUAGGGAAAGGGGGGACACAGUUGGAAAAAGGAAUCACAUUUUUCCCUUUCCUAAAUAGACCCCAGACCCACAUCUGCCUCUAAUAUUGGCAAAAGUAUAAAUGAAGGCAGUUGGUCAGCACCCCACCUUCUCUUCCCCUCUCAGGUCCACCAGCAGGCACUGAACAAACACUUCAGCCCGCAUGCCCAAACUCUGUGUAAAGGCCGCUAAUAAGAGCCACCCCUUAGCUAUCCCUGAGGCCUCAGUGACCUCACCACAGACGGGACAGAUGGGAAGAGGUUCACACAGCCCUGGAAGAGGCUGGGACAUUUGAGCAGGGAAUUCUGGGCCCUGGGUUACGAACCAUGCACCAAAAGGAGGACUGGCCCUGGGUGGCACACAGACAAGGCCCAUGAACUUCUUGUCCUAUGGGGCGGGGCCAGCCCCACCAAGACCAGGGCAGGGCACCUAAAACCACAGCCCAGGGUUGCACCCUGAGAGAAUAAAAGAGACUACCGGGGCAGAGCGGAUCCUAGAAGGGAGAGGCACUAUGGGGCCAGCCUCUUUCUGAAGCCCCACCCAGAGAAGCACCCUUUGCUGGAAAAGAAAACAGCAGAAGCCAAGGUAAGGGGCCAUCACCCAGCAAAAGCAUCCCGUGUCAGAGAGGGAAAGAGCAGCCACAGCCAUGAAGCUGGCCAGUGCAUGGCUUCCUUAGACAGAAGUCUCAGGGAGCCCCAUUCAGGCCUGCAUAAGCCCCCGGGAUUCCAGCAAGACAUGAUGGAGGAGGUGGGCUCCCAGCAGUGGACCCUGGACUCCUGCUAGUCAUAGCUGAGGACAGCGGGCCUGGGGCAGGGUUGGGAGAGCUGUGGCUGCUUACAGACUUAUUCCAGGAAAGCAGAAAUGUGCUGUACUUUGCCUCGUUGCACUCACCUACUUUAGGCCCCUUCCCAGUUCUGCCACCCCAUUCUCACUCUUACAUACACAGAGCUCUUGAGUUUACUGUCUUUCAUUUUAAUGCCUAACAUUUAAAAAAAACUUUUUAUCAUGGAGAAAUUCAGACAAAUGCAAAAGUAGGUUAAAUAGCACAAUGAACCCUCAUGUACCCAGCACCAAGGUUCAGCAACCAUCAAUUAAUUUAUAGUCAAUCUUGUUUUAACCAAAAACCCUACUUAUUUCUCCCCUCUGAUAUUAUUUUGAGGCAAAUCCCAAAUAUUUGGUUUGGGAUUGGUUUCGUCAAUUAAUAUUUUGAGCUAUACCUCAGAAACUGAUUCCUUUAAAUAUAUAUAUAACCUCAGUGCCUUCACCACAUCUAGAUAACACAAAUUCCUAACAUUAUCAAGUAUCUGGUCAGUGAUCUCAUUUCCAAGAGUCUCCUAAAUACCACUUUUACCAUAAAACUUAAAGUAUAAUAAUAAUAAAAUUUAAAAAAAAAUACCACUUUUACCUGCCUCGGGAGGGGCGCUGGCUGAAGCACAAUCAAAAAGCAAGGGGUGAUCGGGCAUGGUGGCUCACGCCUCUAAUCCCAGCACUUUGGGAGGCUGAGGAGGGCAGAUUGCUUGAGGUCAGUAGUUCAAGACCAGCUUGGGCAACAUGGUGAAACCUCGUCUCUACUAAAAAUAUGGAAAUUAGCUGGGUGUGGUGGUGGGUGCCUGUAGUCCCAGCUACUCAGGAGGCUGAGGCAGGAGAAUCACUUGAACCCGGGAGGUGGAGGUUGCAGUGAGCCGAGAUCACACCACUGCACUCCAGCCUGGAUGACAGAGCGAGACUCCAUCUCAACAAAAAAAGAAAGGGGCAUGAAGUAAGACAGGAAAACAUGUGACCCUGCUUGUGGCCAGGACCAGGCUGGUGGCAAAGUUUCAAAUGGGGGACAAAAGGGUGAGAGAUGGCUGGGCACAGUGGCUCAUGCCUGUAAUCCCAAUACUUUGGGAGACCGAGGCAGGCCGAUCACAAGGUCAGGAGUUUGAGACCAGCCUGGCCAACAUGGUGAAACCCCAUCUCUACUAAAAAUACAAAAAUUAACUGGCAGGUGCCUGUAAUCCCAGCUACUUGGGAGGCUGAGGCAGGAGAAUCGUUUGAACCCGGGAGGCAAAGGUUGCAAUAAGCAGAGAUCAUGCCUUUGCACUCCAGCCUGGGUAACAGGGCAAGACUCCGUCUCCAAAAAAAAAAAAAAAAAAAAAAAAAGGAAAGAAAAGGAAAAGAGAAGAAAAAGAGAGAUGCCCAGAGAUAACCGGGGCCAGGGGCAAGUGGGGAGCAGAGAGGGACAAAAUUCUCUCCCACUCUGGAAAGGUGAGGUUCAGAUGAGGAGGGACUGUCAGAGAACAGCCAAAUGACUUUUUCUUCCUGAGAGUUGGGUAUUCUUUUUAUCAUCAGCGAGCAGAAGUGCUCAACUUGGCAGGUUCUGAGGAUGAGAUUAAAUUUCCUCAUGAGGCAAUCAUUGUGAUGGUGGCAGGGGAGAGGGGGCAGGAAAGGAAGUUAGAUUUGAUUAGGGAAUAACUGUCAAGGCCUAGCUCUGCCCCUUAGGAAAGCGAGAUUCAAGGAGGAAAGGGUAGGAUUUUGCCCUCACACCAACCUAGCCUUAAGGCCUGCUGCCACCAGUUACUAGCUGUGUGGGCUCGCAAGCUGCUUAACCUUUUUGAGCCUGUUUCCUCAUCUCUACAAUUAUGAAACAGGAAAAAUAAAAGGCCCCUAGAGAAUUAGAUUCAGGAAGUUGUGGAAAGUGCCCAGUUAGUCAGAAUGGGAAGGAGCCUGCUUGUUGGUUCCUUCUCUACCUUCCGUCUUCUCCCUUGACAUCUAGAUCCAAUCCCUGUACAGUUGAGGACACCAGCCUCUGCAGGGAUCCCUGAAGACAGAUUCUCAGUCAUUGUCAACCACACCACCUGGUCCAGGUAGCUUUCCCACUGUUGGGAACUCCAGGCUUUCUCCUCCACUCUAGAAAGCCUGGGUGAAUGCAAGUGAGGCUGCAGGGAAUGUUGUCUGAGACUGGGAUGGGAUGGGAUGGGAUGGGAUGGGAUGGGAUGGGAUGGGAUAGCUAAGGACAACCGUGGUGGCAGGCCACUUGAGAAGACAGGAGAGACCACAGGUCUGAGACUUCAGAGUAAUCAGAUAGCCCUGGAAGCUCUGAGAAGGUGGGGGCAUUGGCCCAGCACUUCAGGGGGCUAUAACCCAUGCAGUCACACAGGCUCCAUGAGUAGAAGGGCCCUGAACUUGGUUUAACUGCUGUCUACUGUUGUCAUCUUGAAAUUCUUAAAAUUUUUGAACAAGGGCCCCAUGUGUUUAUUUUAUUUAUUUGUUUGUUUGUUUUUUACAGACAAUAAAAAGUAUGUUGUUUACGGACAGGGUUUCACUCUGUCACCCAGGUGAGAGUGCAGUGAUGCAAUCAUAGCUCACUGCAACCUCAACCUUUUGGGCUCAAGCCAUCCUCCCACCCCAGCCUCCCUAGUAGCUGGGGCUACAGGCACGCACCACCAUGUCUGGCUAAUUUUUUUUUAAUUUUUGGCAGAGACAGGGUCUGGCUAUGUUGCCCAGGCUGGUCUCAAACUCAUGGUCUCAAGUGGUCUUCCUGAGUUGCCUCUCAAAGUGCUGGGAUUAUAGAUGUGAGUCACUGUGCCUGGCCCCACAUGUUUUUACACUGGGGCCUGAAAAUCAUGUUUCCAAAACUGCCCAGCACCAACCUGCCAGCUCUGGGAAUUCCAGCUCAGCAUCCCUGAGCACCCCAGGUGAAGAAGUGGAGAAAGGAGGGGGUUUCUAGAGCAAGUGUUUACAAGGAGACAGAAAAUUGAGGGGCCAGCAAGAAAGUGGUUCAAGUGAUCAACCGAGAAGGCAUCUAGGAUGGGUGGAGUCAGCAGGGGACUGAUGUAUCAGAGGAAAAGGAAAGAGUCUGGGAUCUGGGGGUCUUACACAUAGACACCACUAGUUGGAGCAGAGGUAGAAGUGUGAUUGCACCAGAAGGACAGGGAGCUGGCUAGUCUGGGGCCACAAAAACCAGAGUUUAGGGGAAGAUCAGGCAAGCUGUGGCUGUUGAUCAUGGGACCAGGCUGAGGAUGGGAACCGGUGGGAGGAUGGGAGCAGUGUCCAAGCAGCAAGUGGAGCACAGUCCCUGAUAUUCAGAAAUUUAGGCAGGCAGGCAGCACCAGAGAAGUUGGCACUAAGGACAAGGGUCCCAGCCACUGUGCAGGGAUUCAAGGACAAGACUGGAGUGGGGUGUGCCCAAGCCCUAGAGGGACUCGGGCCUGGACAGGCUCUCAGAACCGAGGCCAGAGCACCAGUGUCCCCAUGCCUCCCCCAGAAAAACCCAUAACAAGAGCGGCACACAAGAAAAGGGCCAGGUGGGCUGUCUGGGAAGGCCAGCAUCUCCUUUGCCACGGCUCCUCCCAUGGGUGCCCAUUGUUACUCUGUCCAUCAUUACCGUUUGGCACAACCAUCCCCCACAACACCUUUUUCACCCACAACACUUUUUUCUCCCUUGAUAGCCUGGAGGCUUCUGAAAGGGAGACACUUUCUCCCCUUUACCUGCUCAUCCCCAACACUAAGCAAGGUGUUUGGCACAUAGUAAGUGCUUAAUAAAUGGUGUCUGGCUGGCUGAGCGCGGGCCAGCUGGAACACGGAUGGUAGCCCUGCUGGACAUUGAGAGGGAGGCAGGGGUGCAUAAAAGGGGCAUCUGCCAGCUCUGGUAUAGACCGCCUGGGUUCUAACCAUGCCUCUGCUACUGCUAAAUGGACCAUCUCGGCCAAGUUAUCCAACCUCUGCCCCUAUGUUUCCUCAUUAUAAAAUGGAAAUUUUUAUUUUGUAUUAUCUUAUGUACCUUUGAGUAAAUGUGUACAUAGCAGUUAGAAUAGUGCUGGACAGCACUUUAGGAGGCGGGGGCGGGAGGAUCACUAGGUCAGGUGAUCCAGACCAUCCUGGCCAACACGGUGAAACCCCGUCUCUACUAAAAAUACAAAAAAUUAGCCGGCCUUCGUCAUGGGCUCCUGUAAUCCCAGCUACUCGAGAGGCUGAGGCAGGAGAAUCGCUUGAACCCGGGAGGCGGGGGUUGCUGUCAACCCAGAUCGCGCCAUUGCACUCCAGCCUGGGCGACAGAACGAGACUCCGUCUCAAAAAAAAAAAAAAGUACUGGACGUGCCACGCACUUGCUAACACUAUCAUUAAUAUGACAGGUAAAUAACAUCUUUGUGUGGCGUGUUGCAGCUGUCACAGCCGCCAGCAGACAGCCGACUCCCUCACCAGUAAACACCGCGGCUUAGGUGUUGCCCACCGGGCACCGGAAGGCGGCCCCCUUCUCGCUCUCCAGUGAAUGUUCCUAAAACAACUGCGGGGUCCAAGAGCACAGGGAGAACAGCGCCCCUGACGCAGGCUGCGCACCCGCCCGGAGGAGGCAGUGCGUCAGUCCUGAGGUCACCGCCACCCGCUCCCGGGGGACGGCCGCCUGGGCAGGUGAGGAGGCGACCACCUCCCAGACGCCUGCCGGAGCUGCGGCGCACCGACUCCCUGCUUCUCCGAGCGGCGAGCGCCACCUGGAGGCUCCCUCGAGAUCUGCAUUUAGGAGGCGACGGGUCCUUUCAUCGUUUUAUUCAUUAAACAUUUAUCGAGGCCUGGAGCGAUGGUUCAAGCCUGUAAUCCCAGCACUUUGGGAGACCGAGACGGGCGGAUCACUUGAGGUCAGGAGUUGGAGACCAGCCUGGCCAACAUGGCGAAACCCCAUCUCUACUAAAAAUACAAAAAUUAGCCGGGCACGGUGGCGCACACCUGUAAUCCCAGCUACUCAUGAUGAGGCUGAGGCACAAGAAUCGCUUGAACCCGAGAGGCGGAAGUUGCAGUGAGCGGAGAUGGAGCCACUGUGUGUUAGGCUCUGGCGACGUGGGGAGAAAUAAAGAUAAUGUCUUGUUUCCCAGGGCAUUAAUAGCGUGAUGGGGAAGACAGGCCAUCAACAAUGUGCAACACUAAGGGCUAGGAAAGAGGUGGAUACAAAGGAGGGAAUAAGGAAUGUGGUCAUUCCUUAAGGUGUUUAUUGGUGCCAGGUACUGUUCAAGGCACCAAAAAGAAUGGAACCAAACAGAGAUCCUGCUCCCAAAGAGCUCAUAGUGGAAGGACAGCCAGACAAGCUUAGAAUUACGGGACAGGCCUAAGAAGGAGCCAGACUGGGGACCAGAGGCGUCCGAAGGGAAGUCCAGGAAGUACCGCAGGAAAACGUGAUAUAUAUUAAAUCUUAAAGAAUGGGCAGGAUUUUGCCAGGCUUAGUGACAAGAUAUCUUCCGUAAAAUCGUGGAACUGAAAAGAAAGGAUAUAGGUUGAAGAAGGGCUAGUUCUGUGUCUGAAAUAGAAGGAACAUGAAAGAGAAGUGCUGGGACAUGGGGCAAAAAAGGGAGUUUGGGGCCAGAUCGUGAAAGCCUUGGUUUAACAGGUGAAAAGUUCAAAUUUGAUCCAGGUAGCUGGCAGAGUCAGAGGUUCUAAAGCAGAGACCUGCUCUAUAGAAAGCUCACCAUGAAGUACAGCAGUGAUGGUGGAUGAAGAUACCAACAGCUCAACCUCCUAUGUGCCAGGGAAAUGCUGAGCGCUUAGCACCUGAUAUUUAUCUUAAUUCUCUAAAUGGGCCUAUGGGGUAAGCAUAUUAUUAUCCCAAUUUUAUUGGAAUACUUCCCUGGUAGGGCCCCUAAACAGGUAGCCAUCAAAUGCCUGAUAAAUUCCAGCUAGCUUUAAAUUCUAGUCGCUACAGAGCAGAGCCCUUCCAUCGCACUGAGCUGAAGGAGCCAGAUGGGCAUUACAGACAAGACCCACUCAGUAGGUGAAAUCAACAGAGCCUAAUGACUAUCUAGAUCUGCAAGAUGAAGAAUAGGAAAGAGCUAAAGACAAGAUUAUGAUGAAAAGUUUGAUUUUGAAAUAAUACAUUUUUAAGAGCUGAGAAAAACCGUAUCCAUCAUCCAGAACAACCGCCUAUUCUACCCACACUCCCAGCACCACAUCAGUACACGUGUGCCUGUACUCACCAUUCUGCCUUGCCUCCUGCUGGCAUGGACGAGUGCUGCGUGUUCCUAAGUGCCACCUUCCGCUGUGCACUCGAUCCCAUCCUCGCGCCCACGCAAGAACAUCGCUUCAUCAAUUGGUCCUUCUCUCACAUAUGAAAUUUUUGGUCUUUCUACUGAGUCAUUCCCAUAAAUAUACAUGUGUACUACAAUUUCUCUCAUCGUAAAAAAUAAUAAAAAUAUUUCCUUGACCUCAAAUCUCAUACCCCUGCCAUUCAAUUACACCAAUCCUCUCCAAAAGAGUUAUUUAUACUCAAACUCCACUUUCUCUCCUCUCGUUCUUUCUUGAACCCACUUCAGUUUCAUUCUCACAACUUCACCACAAUUACUCUUCAGGUCCACAUUGCAAAUCCAACGGUCAGUUGAGAGUCCUCAUCUUAGAUGACCUGUCAGCAGACUUCCACACAGUUGAGCCUAUUCACUCAAGUGCCUAAGGCUAUGCACAUUCUUCUCUACUGACACUCACUUCCUCGUGAUCCUGCCUGGCCUCACGUUUACAACUCCGAAUAUAUUCUUUCCAGCCUGAACUCUCCUCUGAACUUCAGACCCAUACAUCCCCAACUGCUGACUCAAUAUCUGCACGUGGAUGCCUAAUGCGUUCAAACGUAGCAUGUCCAAAAGCAAAUUCCUAAUCCUCCCCCUUCAAACCUUUUGCUCCCAUUUGCUCCCACAGCCUUUUCCAUCUCAAUAAAUCAAAACUCUAAUCUUCCAGUUGUUCAGAAUAAAUGCUGUCAUCAUGUUAUCUGUAUUUGUCGAUAUAAAUUAGGUGAUGCUUCCGUAGCAAAGAACCCCAAAAACACCACAAAUGUUCAUGUUUUUGCUGAUGUCCAGGCUGAGUUGACAGGAGACUCUACUCAUCAGUUUCACUGAGGGACUAAGGCUGACGGAGGCUGUAUCUUGACAAAAUGUUUUCAUGUUUUUAGAGACAGGGGAAGGUGCAUGUUGCAGGGUCUUGCACUUGCAGUGAAAUGCUUCUGCCCAGAAGCCCCGUGCACCUCUUCUGCUUACAUUUUAUUGUCCAAAACAAGUCAUAUGGCCACACCUAACUUAAAGGAGGGUUGGAAGCACAAACUUACUAAGUGCCCAAAAAAGAAAACAACUGGCUGGACACGGUGGCUCACACCUAUAAUCCCAGCACUUUGGGAGGCCGAGGCAGGCGGAUCAUGAGGUCGGGAAUUCAAGACCAGCCUGGCCAACAUGGUGAAACCCCAUCUCUAAUAAAAAUACAAAAAUGAGCUGGGCUUGGUGGCAGGUGCUUGUAAUACCAGCUACUCUAGAGGCUGAGGCAGAGAAUUGUUUGAACCCGGGAGGCAGAGGUUGCAGUGAGCUGAGAUUGUGCCACUGCACUCCAACCUGGAUGACAGAGCAAGACUCCAUCUCAAAAAAAAAAAAAGAAAACAACCAAAAUAUUUGUGAACAGCUCUAAUGAUGACCACAUCAUGCUCAACUCCUUUUUUGCCCCUCCCUUUGCACAUGCAAUCCACCAGCAAAACUUUUCUGACUUUCCAAAAUUAUCCAGAAAUCUGACCUCUUCUCCAGCUCCUCCAAAGCACCAACAUCUUUCAUCUGGGUCAUUACAAUAGCCUUUACUGGACCCCCAGCUCCUGCCCUUGCCUCCUCCCACCCCCUACAGCCUGUUCUCCACACAACACCAGAGCAAUUCUUUUAAACAUGUAACUCCACUCUCAAACCCCUCUAAUAUUUCCUAUGUGACUGAGCACGAAAGCCAGAGACCUUCCAGUGACCCAUGAUGCUACACAACCUGCCCACUUUGUCCCCACUUCUGGAAACUAAUCUCCUGCCAGCUUCCUCUUCAGUCCCUCUUGUCCAGCCACACAGGGCCCCAGUUCUUCCUGGGACGUCAAGCAUGCUCAGCCUCAAGGCCUUUGCACCCACUGUUUCUUCUUCCUGGAAUGCUCUCCCCAGGUAACCAUAUGCCUUUCUCCUUCAGGCCUCUGCUCAAAUAUCUCCUCCUAGAAGCUUUCCCUGAUCACCUUAUGUAAAAUCACACACAUGCACAUACACACUCCACUCACACCUCCCUGCCCCCUAUCCUGUUUUAUUUCUCUUCAUAGACCUUGUCACUGUCUGGCACAUUAUAUGUUUAAUUUGCUUAAUAUCUGUUUCCCCACUAGAAUACACAUUUUAUGCAGGCAGGAAUUUUCUUUUGUCACUACUGCAUCUCCAAUGCUUAGAAUAAAAAUGUGUCAAACGUGAAGAAGUGAGGCCCAAGGCUGGUCAGUGCAGAGCUUGAAGUAAACUGUAGCUCUCUGGACCCUCUGUCCAGGGCACCUCUCCGUGGUGCCAUGAGGCAUUUGUGAAAGGAUGUAGUAGGACACACAUCGCUUGGGGAAUGAAGAGCUGGUGGGUUACCUAAGCCAGAGCUAAUACCAGAGUGUGGGAAACUGGAGUGACUGCUCCACAUUUUGCACUGAAGUCCCUCCCUGUGGGAUGUGGCUGUGGGCAGUGGCUGGGGGGAAACCCUCAGAGCUCCGUUCUGUAUGCUGAAGAAACCACAUGCAGACACCCGGGAAGGAUGACUCAGUCUAGUGGUGAUCCUUGUGAUUGGUACCCAAGGGGCUACCAGGCUUCUUAUUAUUAACAUGGUGGAAAUUAAAUGAGACUUAAUGCAGGGAAAUGUUUGUGGGAAGAGACAUUGUGUUGAUCAAGCAACCAGCAUUCUCCAGCUGCUCCAUCCCAGCACCUGCUCUGCUCCCAGCUCCACCUCAGCCUUGCCUCUGGUCUCAUCCUCAGACCCAGAAGCAGCAUCUCGCCCUCCUGCCCCAGCAGAGCCUGGCCUGACCACAGGCCCCAGCACCAAAUGCUGGCCCUUCCCCAAUGUGUGUUCUGUGUUGUCUGGCCUCACCUCACCAUUUUGUCCUCAGUGAUGGGCAGCCACAAGAAGUGGCAGAGCAAGAGCACAGCCAGAGUUGUCGGGAUCCUGCUGGAAACAGCAGGCACAUGCUCCCGUUGGAACAGGAAGGCAUCAGCUGCUUUUCAGUGCCAGCCAGUGAGUGAAAGGUGAGGGAUUUACUAAGAACAUGUACAAGUUGACCAAGAAAAUGGCUCCAAGCGAGCUCAGCUGGGCUGACACUGCCUGUGCUGGCCUGUGAGCCCCACACCUGGAGGCCCAACCCAUCCCCUCAAUGUGGACACGGAUUCAGAAUAGCCACAUGAGCAUCAAGCCUGCAUCAGCACCUCCAUGAGGUCCCUGGGAAGACCUGGACGUGGUAUUCAGGCCUCUGACCGUGAAAUAUAUGUGUCCUGACACCAAAUGCAUCAGAGUUGACCUGAUUACAAACCUGUUUCAGGCCCACCGGGUGAUCCAGGACAUCUGGCUAGUAAUUGUCCCCCUCUCACAUCAUCACUGAUUACUGUUCUCAGUCAAUCUCUCUCUCUCUCUCUCUUCUUCUCUCCCUCUACCUUCAUCACUUCCAUCAGAAUAAAACAUGCUGGUAAUUUCUCUCAUCUCUUAAAAAAAAAAAAACCCUAUUGGCCUUACAUCCCACCCACACCUCUAUCUGAUUUCUCUGCUGAUCUUUAUUCUAAACUCCCCUAAGUCUCAACAGUGCUCAUGGCUCUCAUCUCCAUCUCUGCCUUCAGUAAUCCACACCAGGGUUUCUCCCCCCCAACUUGCCCAAAACUCCCCUGGUCCAGGUCAACACUUAACUCCUCUCUGCCCAAUGCCCUAGUCAGCCCUCAGCCACAUCCACUCCACCCUGCCCACAUUUGACACAGAUGAUGGCGCGUGCCCCCUCCUUGAUGACAUGGUGUCCGACACAUCAGUCCCCAGAACACCCCUUUCUUCUCUUCUCCCAUUCUAGCUGCAUCUGCAUGGCCCCUUUUCUGCCUCUUCUUUCCUACCUCUUAAUUUUGGAAAUCCCCAAGAUUUAGUAGUACUAAAUCUCUGUCUCUUACUCAUAUUCAUUUUUAAGGUGAUCUCACACACUUCUGUGAUUUUAAUAUUUAUCAAUUUAAGACUCCAUAAUUUUCAACUCUACCUUAAUACUGUCCUGAACUUCAGUCCCUCCAUGACUCAACUACCUAUGCAACAUCUCUGUGUGAACAUGAAAUUAGCAGCACAAACUUAACACACCCAAAAGUUUCUCCUUGCUUUCCUUUCUUCCUCCCUCCUUCCUUUCUUCCUUGCCAUCUUUUUUCCAUUCCUUCCAUCUUCCUAUCCUUCCUCCUUUUUUUUCCUUUUCCUUUUUUAUCCUUUCUUUUUUGCUUCUUAUAAUAGGGAAUUUCUAACAUCCACAAAAAUAGACAGACAGACUUGUAUAGUGAAUCCCCACAUACCCAUCACACAGGUUCAGCAAUUGCUAACUCAUGGUCAAUCUUGUCUCUUUUCCCUCCGGCCUGAAUUAUUUUGAAGCCAGUCCUAUAGAUGUUGCAUCAUUUCAUCUGUAUAUAUUUCAGUUUGCAUCUCAAAAAGAUAAGGCCUCGUUUCUAAACAUAACUAUCAUACUAUUAUUAUAUUCAUUUAAAAAAUCUUAACAUCUCUAAUAACCACAGUGUUCAAAUUUCUCAUUGUCUCAUAAUUUUUGUAAGUUUGAUUCAAAAUCCAAAUAAAGCCCACCCAGUGUAAUGCAUGAUAUAUCUUUUACAUCUCUUUUAAUCUAUAAGUUCUCUCUCCAUCUCUUUUUUCUUUUCAAUGUGCUUGUUGAAACAAGGUCCUAGAGACUUUUCCUUACCUUACUUUUGCUGAAUGCACCCCAUGCUACAGUCUAACAUGUCCCACCCCCUGCUCUAGUAUCUGCAAAUUGGUGUUUGGAUUCUGGAGAUGGUGGUAUGGUCUCCCAUCAAGAGGCACAAAUUGUCUGCUUUUCUCUCUUUUUGCCGUAUUCUGAGCAGUUUAUGUUCACUGCCUGGGCCUAUUACCUCAUGAAGAUUGCCAGAUGGUGACAUUCAAAACCUAUCAUUCUUCUUCAUUCAUUAACUGGGAUCCUUCCAUGCAAAGAAAUGUCCCCUCAUCUACUGCUUGGUUACCCUGAGGUAAAGUUUGUACAGGAAAGGCAGUACAAAAUGGUUUUUCUUUCCAUUUUUAACUAGUUUUUUAAAUAAUGAAUUGAUUCCCUGUCAUUUUCUAAAAGAUACCAAUUAUGAGACCAAUGUUAAUAUCGCCAUAAAUUCAUGGACCAAACACAUUCGAUGAUGUUUCCAUCCACUGUGGUUUUAUCCUUUUGAUGCUCACAUUAUCCCAUUUUCAGCAAACGGGAGCUCCUCCUAGUUGGCUACUUAGUCCUGUUGACAGAACCCUAAUCAUCUUUGAUAGUUUCCUUGCUAUCUGGUACUUCAAGAAGCUCCAGGACAUCUGGUCCAUUUUCUGCCCCAGACUGUGGAUCCGCAAACCUGGCAAAUGGCGUUCAAGCCCACGGUCGGGGUGCUAGGGUCACUGUUGCUCCUGGGUUGGCUCAAAAUAAGUCUCUUGAUUUUCCCCUCAGAACUUGCACCUCCUUCAGUUUUCCCCAUGUCUGUCGAUGGCAGCUCCAUUCUUUCAUGGAAUGGAGACCAAAAACCUUGGAGUCAGCCUUGAGUCUCUUUCCUUCACACAUAUAUCCAUUCUAUCAGGAAAUCUAUUGGUUUCAUCUUCAAAACACACCCAGACCCUGACCACUUCUUACGGCUGACGUCGCCACUCCCUGGUCUAUCAUCUCUCACCUGGCCUUCACAAUCGCCUCAUGACUGGUUUUUCUGUGUCUCCCUGUUGUCUCCAUGGCAGCUAAUGUACACUUUUUAAAAUUUAACUCAGACCUUGGCACUCUUUUGCUCAAAACCAUUUCCAGUGGCUUCUCAUUUCACUUAAAAAUCCAAAAGUCGGCCAGGUACAGUGGCUCACCCCCAUAAUCCCAGCACUUUGGGAGGCCAAGACAAGCAGAUCACUUGAGCCCAGAAGUUCAAGACAAGCCUAGGCAACAUGACAAAACCCCGACUCUACAAAGUACCAAAAGAUCAGCUGGGUAUGGUUUUGCACGCUUGUAGGCCCAACUACACGGGAGGCUGGGGCAGAAGGAUAGCCUCAGCCUGGGAGGUCAAGGCUGUAGUGAGCCAUGUUUGUACCACUGCACCACAGCCUAAGCAACAGAGUGAGACACUGUCUUAAAAAAAAAUGGUCAUUUGCCACGUGCAGUGCCCAGUGCUGCAUCCUGGGGUGCUAUCUCUCAGCAGGGUCUGGGUCAGCAUCUGGUGCGAAGUGGGGUGGAUACCUGAGCACAGGGGUCGCAGCUGACUGGCAGUCACUGGGAGCCCUCCAAGAGGCCACUUGGGCUCAGAAAUCAGGGGACCACAUGGGCUGAAGACUGGAGGCUCUUUCUCAGGUGGUUCUGGCCUUGUCAUCCCCCAGGGACUCUUGCUCCAUCCUGGAGAAUACCUGAUUUGGGACAUCAGAUCCCCCUGGUGAGGGAGGGCUCAGAACUAGAUCUAAUCUGAUUUCAGUAGUAUGACAUUUCUUGGAUCCCAGUGUUUGUGCAGCAAUUUCAUACUUGCUUCAUGCAUAAUGUGUAUAAACUGAAUAAUAAACAUGCACAAACCAUUUUCCUGAUAUUUUCAUCCUAUGGAGCAUAGGAAAAUGGCCUUAGGGCAACAUCAGGGGCUUAGAAAUGUAUAGAAAGUUGCCAAAGAAGGGGUCACCUGGUCCUGUUAGAGGUAGAAUUCUGCUUGUAUAGAAGGCGGAGCUGAUUCCCUAGGAUGAUUCUGGAGCACCAAGGCGAGUAUACUCCUGGCACAACUGAGCUAUCAGAGAAGAAAAACACAACUGGAGGCUGAGUGCUGCAUCCCCUACUCCAGUCCCAGGGUCAGCAGGCAGCUGCAGGUGGUCCUGACAUUUCCCACUGCUUAUUAAAAAGGAAAACAUUUAAUAAAACAAAACACACGCUUGUCGCUCAGCAGGUCCAGGCACUGCCAAGGAUACUGAUUCCCAUUUACUUCAACGCUCCGAUUGGUGCUUCUUGUCUGCUUUCCCUGGAAAUGGGCUUGCAGACUGGAAAACAGAGUACAGUGAGAGAAAAAACCACGCUUAUCCC